This 79961-nucleotide long non-coding RNA is filed under the name Populus trichocarpa (black cottonwood). Its description in RNAcentral is "long non-coding RNA (PTRI_LNC002468)". Lineage: Eukaryota; Viridiplantae; Streptophyta; Magnoliopsida; Malpighiales; Salicaceae. The record is from RNAcentral.
AGCUUCCUUGGUAAUGGUCCGGCCACUUGGGCCAAUCGCUACAGCUGCAGGAAUGCCUUGAAUUUUGAAUUUCCGACUCAGGAUUUGUUUCCUUUCGUCACCAAAUGGAAGGGCUAACCAAGGCAUUUCUGAAUAGAACUCGUCAAAGGUGGAUUGAUCGCUGUCACUUGAGAUGAAGAUCACCUCAAAUGCAUUGUCUUUUGCUUUAAUUGUGUGGUAUGCUUCAAUUAGCUUGGGUAAAAAGGCACGACAAGGAGGGCACCAUUGAGCUGAGAAGUAAAGAAGAAUGUUCUUUCCAACUAGAUCAGACACUCGGACCUAAUCAAAGAGCAAACCAUUUGAAUGAUAAAAAUACCUUUGCUAAUGAAUUCAAUUCGAGAUAAUAAGCAAGUUAUUGAAAGUAAUGCAAUAACAACAUGCGAUGUUAGCACAGAACAAAAAAUUACCUUGGAUCCACUUUUGUCAAUCACAAAAUCAUUUUCCCCAUUAACCAAAACUGACUCAAGCGUCUGCGAUUCCAGUUUUGCCUUUUCAAUUUCAGCUAGCUCCUCAAGCUUUUCCGGUGUAAAUGGGUAGGCUUCAAUUCCAUGGUCUUCGAUGAGUUCAGCUACAUUUGGGUUCAAAGUCUUCCCAUCUUGGCCAAUUAUGACAAGAUUAGGAAUGGUUCUAAGUUCAAAAUACCGCGCUAGCUUCUCGCAGCUCUUGUCCUUAAACGGCAAUGCCAACCAAGGCAUUGUCUCAAAACUCUCUUUGAAUUAGGACUACUUCAAGUUCUCUCCUUUUUCCUUGAGCCUCUUGUACAAUUCCACUAGUUUAGGAGUGAAUUCACGGCACAAUCCUAUGAGCAUGGAUUGAGAAAUACAAGCCAACCAAUUUUCCUUCAAGGUCCAACACAGGGAUCUGCCAUUACAGAUAGCAAAAAUGUAAAUUAUGGCAUCAUCAUUAAAAAUAGCAAAAAAGUGAAUGAUGGCAUCAUCAAUUCAAUUUCAAAACUAGCUAAUUGAAUGAGCCAUCUACCUUUUUUCCAUCAUUUGAAAUCACAUAAUCACGUGAGCUUGAAACCAAGAUAGAGCUUAUGGUUUGAUUCUUCUUAGCAUUCUCUUCUUGCUCUUUCAGGAAAUUCAGUCUAUCAAGGUUGAACGGAUACCCAUCCACGCCAUGUUCCUUGACAGUGCUGACUCCAUUAUCGCAGGAAACCUUGCCAUUCGUAUCAAAAAUGACAAGAUUAGGGAUCCCUCUUACUUUGAACACUUCCUUAAGACGUUUGCGGGUCUCCGUAUCAGAGAAGGGAAUAGCAAGCCAUGGCAUUUCGGAGAAGUAUGUGUUGAAGGAUUCAUCGUCUCUGUCAGAAGAAAUGAAGACCACCUCAAAGUCCCCUUUGGAUGAUAGCUGUUCAUAGACUUCUACCAACAACGGAGUGAAAUUACGGCACGGCCCGCACCACGAACCAGAGAAGUAGAAUCCCACAAUCUUCCCAACCAAAUUGCUGACCUUAACCUAAAAAUUAACGUGGAACAUUAUCAGAAAAAAGUUUCAGCCCUUAACGAAUCAAAAUCUUAUUUGUGGUUUCUUUCUCUUGCCAGUGAGAGAAGCAACAAAAAAAAGAGCUUUUUCUUAAUCAUAAAAGCUUCAGAAAUUGGUCAUAAAUUUGUUCUUCAGCAAGGCUUGCAGUCUAAUUUAAACAUGAUAUUCAUCUUAAUUACUAGAAAAACCUACAAGUUCAUAUAAAAAAAGACGUCAACUUAUAAUAAGACAAGAAGAAGUAGAAUUGAAUAAGAUCAGAGAAACUCAUAUGCUAAAAGCAGUACCUGAUCACCAUUGUUGCGGAUGAGAAAGUCCCUCUCUUCUGAAGAAAGAAGCUUUGAAAGGUCGAGAGAAACGUCUUCGGUGGCCAUAGCUAGCUAUGUGAUGAACUACUCAAAAGGCUAGAACAAUUGCCAAUCCCAGUUGCUGUGUAAUGGAACUUCCAGGCUAAGGCUCCUUUAAAGUACCUGCUCGCCCGGCCUAGGAAAUUAUUAUUCUAAUUGUCAACGACGACUACAAGGCUUGGCUGGUGUCGAGUGAUGACGAAGACAUUAUGACGUAGGUCCGCGGAAGCGGUAUUCGCAUUAUUACGUGCUUCUAUAAAUCUCCUAUUGCUUCAUUUUUUUUUUAACAUGUUUUUUUUAAUCUCCUUUUUUUGUUUGUAUUCUAGUUUUUUAAAAAUUAUGAGUUUGUUAUUAAAUAUAUUUUUUGUUUUUAUCUCUUUAAUAAAAUCUUUAUUAAAUGUGACUUGAUGAUAACAACAUGUAAUUUAAUAAAUUGGUUAAGAUCCAAACUUAAUAGAUUCCUUCUUAUCCUUCUGAUAAAGUUUUUUAAUAGUGAAACUCUCAACUCCUUUUGAUUUAAAAAAUAAUGAUGUUACGUGUAUUUAAUAAUUAUAAAUCAAAUUAUAUUAUGUAUUUGAGCCACGUCAUGACUCUAUUUCAAUAAAAAAAAUCCUUAUAUUUUUAGGAGAGAAAGAAAGAGUUUUUAAAUACAAUAUUUUAUCAUAAUUUUGACCUUUCCCUACUCAAAAGUGCACUAUACAUAUAUAUCAUUAUCUUUUAUCGAACACUCCAAAUGUAUUUAAAUUUGUCAAUUAAUUGUAAAUAAGGGAAGUUAAUGAAUUUCCACUCUAAAAUGUUCAAAUUCAUUGUUUGCUUUCAACUUUGUUCUAAUUAAAUCAGGUUAAGUAUAUGACUUUUUUCAUUAGUGGGUAUCCACUAGAUAUUCUAUUUGAUCUAUUUUUUUAAUUAAUUUUAUAAAAAUAAAACCUAAACUAAAAAAAUAAAAUAAUUCCUCCUUCAUGAAUCAUAAAACUAUGAAAUUAAAUUAAAUAAAAAAAUAAGAGAUGUUGUUAGUUUAGUGUUGUUGCAAAGUGGACAAAAACUCAAAAUAUCAAGGAUAAGAAUAAUAUUAUAGUUUUAUUUUUAAAAUUUUUUUUCAAUAUAAUCACUAAAUAUUUUUUUUAAUUUCAUCUUUGAUAUUUUAUUAAUCAAGAAUUUGGACUUAUUGGUUGGUUUUCUAUAAUCUUUUAUGUGGGGGAAAUUAAAUGUCUCUACAUUAGGGUCAUGUUUGAUUUUACAAAAUAAAAUCCUAUUUUAUUGCAUAUAAAAAUUUAAGACUUGGGGCCAAAAUUGACCGUUAGCAACAAUUUCAAGAUUCUUUAUUUGAGAAAUGUUCAUUUCUCCAUAUUUUACUUUAAAAAUUUUAUAUUUUAAUCCAAAACUCUAUUUUGAUCACAUUUCAGUCUCUAGCUUUAAACAAAAGAUAAAAAUUCAUUGAAAAUAAUGAAAGAGAGAGAAACACAUAGAGUGACAAAGUUUUGUUAGUAAAAAUAACUAAAAUUUGUGUCAAUGUGUUCUUCUUGAUAAGAAGAGUGCUACUAUGGUGUUUUUGACUUUUUAUAUAUAAAAAAAAAACAGAUCGAGAUUUGGAGAGUUUUUUUUUAAGGUUAAACUUUGUGUUUUAAAAUUAUUUUAGGGUUUUUUUAGUUGAUGGAUUAGUUUAUAGACAAUCUAAAAGUGUCUAUUAGAUAUUUUUAGAUAAAAAUAUAUUAAAAAAUAAAUUUUAAAAUAAAAAACAAUCCAAUUCUUCAUCCACCUUUCCAAUGAUAGGAAAAUUAAGCAAGUAAAAUGAUGUGUCAUUUACUUUAUUUAAAGAAAAAACAAUAAAGGAUAGAUGUUAUGUCAUCCAUCAAAGAAAACAUAAAAAUAUAAAAUGGCUCUUCCAUCUUUUGAAUAAUUGAGCCAUUUGGCCCCACAAACAUGGCUUGUUUUGGGCCAUUAUUUUUAAAUUUUUGGAUCUUUAUCCUUGAGUUUUAAUUUUAUUUCAUUAAAAUUAAUUAUUUAAGAACACAUUAAGGAUGUUAUUUUAAUAAAUACUUAAAUUAUUAAAAAUAUACAUGAGAUAUUAUUUUAUUAGAUACCAUUUAAUUUUUACUUUGUUUUUAAAUAAAAUUAUAAUAUUUUUUUUAUAAUAUUAGUAAGGGUUUUUUUGGCAUAACCCAUCAUGAUCUUUCUUAUCUUUGCACAUACGCUGUCAAAGACUAUAAUAAUAGAUUCCAUGAAAAAGAAACUGCGAGAACAUGAAACAUGCAUUUGAACAUGAAAAGGUAAAUAAGCUGAACAUAAUUAAUGGGCCAUAGAAGCGAAGGUUUUUUCAAUGGCUUCAAACUUCUUGGCAGCGUGCUUCAUUGUUGUCGCCGAAUUUCUUCGCAGUGUGCUUGCUUGAAACGUGGAUGUAUCACAUGGAUGAUAUUUUCGUUCUUUGGACAGGAGUGAUAAGCAUUUUCCUUUAGGAAUGACAAAAACCUCAUAACAAGUGAUUGAAAUUUGAGAACAACCAUCAACCAUGGAUUCCCAGGUUUCAAAUGGGUCACAGGAUUCACAUAAACACAGCCAAUCCGGUUAUUUAUGUUUGGUAUCGAAAUACAAGACAUGAAAAUCCUUCAGCAACACGCCUCUUAAUUAGAUAUCAAUAGCAGGAAAGACAUCCACUAUCUUCACACACAUGCCACAAACACCUUACAUCGCAAACUUAUUACGGCAGAAACCCCAUAAAACCAGAUACCAGGUGCGCUUGCCCGCUUAAGCUCUGCGGCACACAUCACCAUCGCAGAUCCUUCCUUCCUUUCCCUUUUCAGUUCCAGUAUCUUCAUCUUCCUUCAAAGCACACUUAGGGUGAAGAUCAAAGUCACAUUGUUUGCAAUAGAAAGACCAACCAUGUCCUGUUCCACGACAGCCAUUGCAAACAUAUGCUUUGCGUUUAGUACGAAUCAGCUCAUGCUCAGUAUGAAGUUCGUGUUUCACUUUCUCUGGCCACCCCUUUGCCUUUUCCUCAAGCUCCUCCUCCAAUUGCUUUAGAUGUUCCUCGGUAAAUGGAAAAGCAUCUGCCCCGUAAGCUGUCAAGUGCAUCCGAGCUUCCUUGGUAAUGGUCCGGCCACUUGGGCCAAUCGCUACAGCUGCAGGAAUGCCUUGAAUUUUGAAUUUCCGACUCAGGAUUUGUUUCCUUUCAUCACCAAAUGGAAGGGCUAACCAAGGCAUUUCUGAAUAGAACUCGUCAAAGGUGGAUUGAUCGCUGUCACUUGAGAUGAAGAUCACCUCAAAUGCAUUGUCUUUUGCUUUAAUUGUGUGGUAUGCUUCAAUUAGCUUGGGUAAAAAGGCACGACAAGGAGGGCACCAUUGAGCUGAGAAGUAAAGAAGAAUGUUCUUUCCAACUAGAUCAGACACUCGGACCUAAUCAAAGAGCAAACCAUUUGAAUGAUAAAAAUACCUUUGCUAAUGAAUUCAAUUCGAGAUAAUAAGCAAGUUAUUGAAAGUAAUGCAAUAACAACAUGCGAUGUUAGCACAGAACAAAAAAUUACCUUGGAUCCACUUUUGUCAAUCACAAAAUCAUUUUCCCCAUUAACCAAAACUGACUCAAGCGUCUGCGAUUCCAGUUUUGCCUUUUCAAUUUCAGCUAGCUCCUCAAGCUUUUCCGGUGUAAAUGGGUAGGCUUCAAUUCCAUGGUCUUCGAUGAGUUCAGCUACAUUUGGGUUCAAAGUCUUCCCAUCUUGGCCAAUUAUGACAAGAUUAGGAAUGGUUCUAAGUUCAAAAUACCGCGCUAGCUUCUCGCAGCUCUUGUCCUUAAACGGCAAUGCAAACCAAGGCAUUGUCUCAAAACUCUCUUUGAAGUGUUUUUCCUCAGAGUCUAGAGAUAUUAGGACUACUUCAAAGUUCUCUCCUUUUUCCUUGAGCCUCUUGUACAAUUCCACUAGUUUAGGAGUGAAUUCACGGCACAUCCUAUGAGCAUGGAUUGAGAAAUACAAGCCAACCAAUUUUCCUUCAAGGUCCAACACAGGGAUCUGCCAUUACAGAUAGCAAAAAUGUAAAUUAUGGCAUCAUCAUUAAAAAUAGCAAAAAAGUGAAUGAUGGCAUCAUCAAUUCAAUUUCAAAACUAGCUAAUUGAAUGAGCCAUCUACCUUUUUUCCAUCAUUUGAAAUCACAUAAUCACGUGAGCUUGAAACCAAGAUAGAGCUUAUGGUUUGAUUCUUCUUAGCAUUCUCUUCUUGCUCUUUCAGGAAAUUCAGUCUAUCAAGGUUGAACGGAUACCCAUCCACGCCAUGUUCCUUGACAGUGCUGACUCCAUCAUCGCAGGAAACCUUGCCAUUCGUAUCAAAAAUGACAAGAUUAGGGAUCCCUCUUACUUUGAACACUUCCUUAAGACGUUUGCGGGUCUCCGUAUCAGAGAAGGGAAUAGCAAGCCAUGGCAUUUCGGAGAAGUACGUGUUGAAGGAUUCAUCAUCUCUGUCAGAAGAAAUGAAGACCACCUCAAAGUCCCCUUUGGAUGAUAGCUGUUCAUAGACUUCUACCAACAACGGAGUGAAAUUACGGCACGGCCCGCACCACGAACCAGAGAAGUAGAAUCCCACAAUCUUCCCAACCAAAUUGCUGACCUUAACCUAAAAAUUAAUUUCGAAAAUUAUCAGAAAAAAAAUCAGCCCUUAACGAAUCAAAAUCUUAUUCAUGGUUUCUUUCUCUUGCCAGUGAGAGAUGCAACAAAAAAAAAGAGCUUUUUCUUAAUCAUAAAAGCUUCAGAAAUUGGUCAUAAAUUUGUUCUUCAGCAAGGCUUUGCAGUCUAAUUUAAACAUGAUAUGCAUCUUAAUUACUAGAAAAACCUACAAGUUCAUAUAAAAAAAGACGUCAACUUAUAAUAAGACAAGAAGAAGUAGAAUUGAAUAAGAUCAGAGAAACUCAUAUGCUAAAAGCAGUACCUGAUCACCAUUGUUGCGGAUGAGAAAGUCCCUCUCUUCUGAAGAAAGAAGCUUUGAAAGGUCGAGAGAAACGUCUUCGGUGGCCAUAGCUAGCUAUGUGAUGAACUACUCAAAAGGCUAGAACAAUUGCCAAUCCCAGUUGCUGUGUAAUGGAACUUCCAGGCUAAGGCUCCUUUAAAGUACCUGCUCGCCCGGCCUAGGAAAUUAUUAUUCUAAUUAGUCAACGACAACUUCAAGGCUUGGUGUCGGGUGAUGACGAAGACCUUAUGACGUAGGUCCGCUGAAGUGGUAAUUCGCAUUAUUACGUGCUUCUAGAAAUCUCCUCUUGCUUUUUUAGCUUUUAUUUUGAAUAACGCAGACAUGCUGAGUCACUUGGCCCAACAAACAUGCCUUGUUUUUAGCCUCUUUUUUUUUUUUUCUUUAUCUUUAUCCUUAAGUUUUAAUUUAAUUUCCUUAAAAUUAAUUAUUUAAAAACAUAUUAAGGAUGUUAUUUUAGUAAAUACUUAAAUUAUUAAAAUUAUAUAUGAAAUAUUAUUUUAUUAAAUAUCAUUUAAUCUUUAAUUUAUUUUCAAAUAAAAUUAUAAUAUCAUUCUUAUAAUAUUAGUAUGAAUUGUUUUUCACAACCCAUCAUGAUUUUUUUUUAUCUGUACAUAUACGUUGUCAAAAAAUAUAAUAAUAGAUUCUAAAAAACAAUUAAGGAUACUAUUGAACUAUAAAAUGAUAAUUGAUUAAGAGCAUAUUAAAAAAUGUGAUAGAAAUUGUAUUUUAAAAUAGUUUUUAUUGGAAAUAUAUUAAAAAAUAUUUUUUUUAAUUUUAAAAAAUUUAUUUUUGAUAUCAAUAUAUUAAAACAAUCUAAAAUACUUUAAAAAUAUAUUAUUUUUUUAAAAUUUAAGCAAAUAGUAUUUUAAGCAGUACUAAACACCCCAUUUUACUAUAAACAAAAUCAUCAUAUUUUUAAUCUAUUUAUCACAUCAUGAAACAUCAUGAUGAUUAAUUAGCAAACACAACACCACCGUGUAGAAACCAUGUGUGACACUUCAAAUUCAUCGUAACAAAUUGAUCAAAUUAUAAAAUAAUCCUUAUACUUCUAAGAAAUUAGUAGCUCACUCCCUUUAUUUAAAAGAAGCCAUAUUUUACCUCCAUGUUAUCAUUUCCAUUUACUAUAACUUAGUUCUUCCUUUAGUUUUACAUUGUAAAAGUGCUAAACCAUCAUUUUAGGUAUUAGUUAAAAAAAAGUAUCUAUUAACAGAUUGACGGUCAAAGCUUCUCAAUUGAGUAACUUUUUUGUUUUUAAAAAACAGAAGGACUAACAUGUUGGUCUAUUGAAAAUGUAAGGAUUCAAUUAUAAUUUAAUUCAAGAAACAAAUAUGAUGCUAUUGACAUGUCCACAAGUCCACUGGCACAAUUAUUGCUUAUAACCCAUCACCUAUCAAUAGUGAUGGGGGAGGGGGGGGCCAGAAGUGUCCUUCUCCCGUAGGGUAAAAGCCCAGCAGUGUCCUCCCCCAUCGUAGGGUGGUCCAAACACAAGAUGGCUAGAGAUACUAAGAACCUGUUUGGUAUUGCGGUAGCUAUUAUGGUUGUGAUUUUAAAAAAGUUAUUUUAUAAAAAUUAUUUUUAGUUAAGGUUGGUUUAAUAAAAUAGGUGUUUGGUUAAAAUUGUGGUUGAAAUUGAGGUUGAACAAAAAGUAGUUUAAUGUGUUUGGUUAAUAAUGCUUUUGAAAUUGAGGUUAUAAAAUAAUUUUAAAAAAUAUAUAUUAAUAUUGAUGUUUUUUAAUUUAAAUAUUGUAGAUUUAACUAUUAUUAUUACAUCAUGAAAUAAAUCAUACUUUAUAUAAAAUAUUUUUUAUUGAUUCAUUAAACCAUCUACAUUUCUAUCACGUACGAAAUACAUCCGACAAGAACUACAGUUUUCAUAAUUUUUUAGCGUGUAAUAAAAUUAGAUAAAAUAUUAUCAUGUAUAAAACUAGUUUUUUUUUAAAAAAAAUGUUAAAAAAAUUAACACACUAAAAAAAAAGUGUCCACACAGUGCAAGUGAACAAUGCAAGAGAAUUGCACUGUUCACUAUUUUUAAGUGAACAGUGCACUUUUCUUGCACUGUUCACAUGAACAGUGCAUCACUAUGCACUGUUCAUGUUAAUUGAACAGUGCAAUUAACAUGAAUAGUGCAAAAAAAGUAAGGAAUUCUUGCUUUUUAAAUACUGCGUUUCCAACACAAAAAAGAAAUAGGAUCCAGUAAACAGUAUAUCUUUUUUUUUUAAUCAAACAACUACAAUUACGUUUUAAAUAAAACGCAACCGCAGUCACUGUGAUAAAAAUUAUUAUUAUCACCAUUAUUACCAUCAUAAUAAACUAUUAUUUUUAUUUUUAUUGCUGUUAUUGUUACUCUUAUUAUUAUUAUCAAAAAAUUUAUCAUCAUCAAUAAUAUUAUCACACCUAUUAAUAUCAUCAUCAUAAAUAAUAUUGUUAUUUUCAUUAUUAUUUUUAUUACUACUACUAUCAUCACUAUUUUUAUAACUAACAUUACUAUUAUUAUUUUUAUUUUUAUCACCACCAUCACCACCACAAGUCCACAACCACCACCACCACCAUUAUUGAAAAAGAAAAAACCUUAAACUUGAUUUGAAUAGAAUUGAAAACUAUAAAUUUUUUUAUAAAAAGACUAGGAAAAACAAUAAGAAAUUAAAAGAAUAUGGACCAAAUUGAAAUCAUUAUUAUUAUCAUUGGCAAAAUAAAAAAUUAUAAACUUGAUUUGAAGAAUAAAACUGAAAGUAAUAAAAACUUUGAUAAAAAAACAAAGAAAAAAAAUUAAAAAUUAAAAGAAAAGAAGACCGAAUAUAUACAAAUUAAAAAUCAAGGGUUAAAUUGAAAAAAAAACUUUCCCAAAAGGAAAAAUGAUCAAAAUACCAAAAUCAAAACUAAAAGAACUGAAUUUGAAAUACCAAUAACAAUGAGGUCCAUAGUGCUUUUCGGGGGGCAGGAAAAAAAACAAAAGGAAAAAAAAAGGAUCACUAGCAAUAAACCAAAUAUAUUUUAACUACACAAGCCACCUAUUAUAAAAGAGGAGACAGUGAGACAUCAAAUUACACAGCAGAAGGACAAUUUUUAUCAUUGGGAGUCGCUGCAUGCACCGUCCAAAUUACACAACAGCUCCCAUGUGAUGGCUCGUGUUGUGCACGUAGCAACAACUUUUUUAAAAUAAAAAAAUAUUAUUUAAAUGUUAAAUUGCAUUACUAUCCUCAACCAAAUCAACAAUUAACAAAAAAAAAAACAAGAGUAAAAGACCCUAAUACCCUUGAUCCCAAUGAAUUAAUUUUUUUAGAUCCAAGGGUACAUGUGUAAUUUCACUAUGUAUUAAAAAUAAAAAAUACCUAUAUACUCCUAUAUGAAACUAUUGAUUUUUUUUACUCCUAGAGGUAUUUUUUUUAUUUUAUUUUUCAUUAAAUAUUAAAAAUAUAAAAAUGCCCUCAAACAAACCUCUAAUAAUUAAUAUUCUGUGUGAAAUUACCAAAAUACCUCUGAAUCAAAGGUAAAUAAUUUUUUUUAAGGCUAUAGACAUUAUUUCACUAUUGUAAUGGAUAGUAAUAUGACUCUAUAGCCAUAAUGAAUUUGCCUUUUUUUUAGUAUUUUUUUUAUAAUUAGUCAACUAUACUUCAAGACUUGGCUGGUGUCAGGUGAUGACAAAGAUAUAAUGAUGUAUAUUAGAUGCUUAUAUAAAUCUCUUGUUUUUUUAAAAAAAAUGAAAAACAUAUUCCAUUUUGUAAUCUUUUUUUUUUCCGUUUGUAUCAUAGUUUUUAAACCCGACCUGGUGGUCGACCCAGUAUAAUAAUUGGGUCACGGGUCAGAUGGGUUGACUCGGGUUAAUAAAAAAAAAAAUAAUUUCUUGCUUGCCCUUGGACUAAUAAUAAUAAUAAGCAUCAUUGAAAAAAAGAAAAGUUUCUAGAGAAUAACCCUGCUUGCCACUCAUGUUUGACCAGAUCCAAAACCAAACAUUGAUUGCCCUUAUAUAAUUAGCACAAUCACCCUCACAACACAGUACACACAAAUCCCUACCCCGCUCUUUACAAACCACCUUCCCGCCACCUCCACAGCCACCACAAGCCCACCAUCACCUUCUCAAUUUUGGGAUUCAAAGUUCCUUCUCAAAGGCGUAGAAGAGAUUACGAAAUACAAGAGCAAUGCCUACCUUCACAACCACAACUAUUAUGUCAUCUCAAAGCAGCAACCUUAGUCUCCACAAACUCAAGAUUAACCCAAAAACACAAUCAAACAUAGUCACAAUUGGUGGGUGAAUUUUUCAAACAACAGACUAAACCCUAACUCAAGCAGAUCUGAAAUCCCUCUUUUCCUAACUCUCCAAGCUGAAUCAACUUGUUCCCUAUUUCAUCAAUCGAGACCCUAAUUUAUUCUCUAUUCUCUUAUCCCUCUUGAGAACCGGAAAUCUCCCCUCAAAGACCAAGUUUUCUGUGAAGAGUCAAAGUUUUACAAGAUUGAAGAGAUUAGUUUUCUGUGAUUCUGUAUUUAUGUUACAAAUGAUUUGAAGCAAAAGAAUUAAUUUGAUUGCUGCAACUCUCAUCUUAAUUUAUUAGAGAAGAAAAAUCGAGCUAAAACCGUGAAGCCUAGUUUAAAUGAACGAACAAUUAACUUUUAUACGUGGGAUCUUGCACGUGAAGCCUAGGAAAGGGCAAUGGCCAAAUAGAGAGACCCUGUUUUUAGAGGGGAGGAAAAUAGAAUUUUUAAAUACAAUAACUAUCAUUUGGCAAUUAACGGUAUCUUCUGAGUUGUGACUUUUCCGCAAUCAAAAGCACAAUUGAUUUUUAUUAAGUUUUUUUAAAAAUUUCAACUCUCACCCGCACAAUAAUAUUUUUAAUAAUCAAUCCAUCUCAAAUUAUUAAAAAAAAUUAAAUACAAAAUAAAUUCUAAGUAAUUUUGAAAAAAUAACAAAAAAAUUCUAAAUAAAAUAAAAAAAAUAUCUUAAUUCAAUUAGGUAAGCAUAAUAGCUUAUGGUUUUUUUCGUAAUGCCUUCUCAAUAUCUAAUUGAUAUUAUAUUUUAACUUUAUAUGAAAUUUUUUACUCAAUUCAAUAAUCAAAUCAAAAGUUAUAUCUAUUAACAUAAAACUAUAUAUUAGAAAAACAAGCUCAAUUCACGUGUGAGUAGGAAAAAAAAUUGAAUCCAUAAGUCUUGUAAUAAAUAAGACCCAAAUAUCUUAAAUUAACCAUUAAAUGCCUUUUUAACCUUCUUAGCUCCUAACUCCUAACUUUUUAAUAGAUCCAAUUGGCACAUGUAUUAGAUCAUGUAGUAUUGCUUGAUAAGUCUCAACAACAAUUUUUCAAUUCAUCCAAAUUGAUAAGAAGAAAAAUAAAUGAAAUAUGGAAAACCACUCUCUAUAAAGAAAAUGACAAUAAAAUCUUCCAUCAAACUCUUAACCAUCUCAUUGCAAAAAACCCUCUCGUCGGUCGUCGAAACCACCAAAAUAUAAUUCUGACUUAAUUAUCACAAACAAAAUAAAUUUAUAGUAUGAUCGUGAAAACCAGGUCAAACUCAAGGAAAAUUUUGUUUAAUCUUCCUACAAUAUACUGAAAUGAGAAAGAAUGAGAGAUUUGGAUGAAAAAUUCAAGAAACAAUAAUUCUGAAAAUAAUAAAUUGAUGUCGUUAAAUCAGUUCAAGGAUCCACACAUUCAUUCCUAUAAAUCUGUUGAUCAUCGAAGUAAAAUAAAUAUUCUUUCGCAUCAAACAAAUAAACUCGAUAUCCCUUAAAGCUGAGGAAAAUCGAUGAGAUUAUAAGUUCAUUAAUUAGAAAAAGCUCUUUAAUUAAUUUCUUACCAUCAAAGGAAUGUAAUAUUGAAAGCAAUUUUCAUUUACUCGGUAGUAGUCUUAGAAAUAAAAUCUAUGCAUUUAUUCUAAGCAAACAUUCAAAAGAUUGACAAUUUUAACUUAGUUUAUUCUUCUCUAAUAAAUUAAGAUGAGAGUUACAGCAAUCAAAUUAAUUCUUUUGCUUCUUACUCUAGUUCCUAACAACAAUUACGGAUUGAAAAAAACUAGAAAGCAUACAUGCCAUCUCAAAACAAUUCAAUAAGCUUGAAUAACAAUCAAUAACAUAAUUCUGAACAAGAAAAAAUGAAUACUUGAAUAUGAUAGAAUUACAAUGAUAAUGUUACUUCUCACAACAUGUUAAUGGAGAUGGUGUGUAUCCCUCUUGAACCUAAUUCAGGAGUUUAGUUCAUAGUUGCUGAAAAAUUGACAAAAGCAGAGAAGAAAGGAAUGUUUUUCGACUCUUGUUUCAGCUGUGUUCUGCUUUCUUUAUCCUCCCCAUAUGCUACCGAAAUCUUCAGGAUUCUUAAACUAAUUAGGAGUCUUCAUGAUAUUAAAUUCGUUCCUUCUUUAUCUGGUCUUUAAGGUUGGAUAAAUCUCUCAGAAUUUAUCUUGAAAUCUGCUUCUGCUGUUAUCAUAAUUUUAUUGUAAUACCAACUCUGUUGUAAUUUAGACUUCGAUUCUGACUUGGUUUCUUGUAAUAUCCGACCAUUCCAACUAUAUUCUUUCAUUCAUGACAUGUUAAAGGCUUGAUCUGCACCUUUCUUGGGUCCUAAGACCCAUCUUUUUUAUGUCAGACUCUCAGCCUUAUUGGGAUACUCGGCACCAUUAGUUUCCAAAUCAGAUCAGGGGACCCAUUUUGACCAACCAGAUUGUGUCCAUAUUCUGUCCUUCAAAUCGAUUUUAUCUAACUUUAAGUCUUUCAUGAAAGUUGUAAUCCUGGAUGUGUAGAUGAAUUUUGGUUUUGAAUCACCUACUUUCGAUAUCAAAAACUCAAGAUAUUCCCGUUUGAAUCUCUAGUGUAAAAGCAGAGAAUCCUGCUGCGAGAAGAACUCUGGCCCGAGUUUGCAGGUCUGAUUCGAGGUCCAAAUGAGAUCGGAAUUUUGCCCAUAAUACUUUCCUGGAAAGCUUGACACGUGUACUUCAACUUAGAAUAGCCCACCUUCUCAUUUUAGAACUCUAACUUGACAAAAAACUUGUCACAAGAAGCUAGGUCUAAAACAUAAAAUGCAAAAUUUCUUAUGUUUUAACGAUUAAUUCACGAAGUCUCUUCUGCAUGUCAAACUCAUAAAAAUAACUUCCAAUCAACUCAAAUAAGUUCAAAAUACAUUAAAAAGCAUAGUGCAAAUGGAAUAAAAACUAUGUAUAUUUUGCACUUAUCAUCCUUACAAACAUAGCAUAAGCAGUUAUCUCAAAUUUCAUACCAUUAUUUUGUCAAUUUUUUGCACAAUCAAUAUCCCUGACAUGACUUGAUGUCAAACUUGUUGUUAAUGACUUAAUAGAUAACAAGACUAAGAAAUUUUGAUCUUUCAUCUUCAUAAUUUUGAAAAUAAAUCUAUUAAAAAGUUAUGUAUGUUAUGUUGACAAGUCAACAAAACAAUGCAUAACUACUGAGUUUUUCAAACUAAAACUCCAUAGAUAUAUACAUGUGAAAUCCCCGAUGCUAAAUGAAAUCAUAAAAGAAAGAUCUCAUAGAGUAAUUUCCAGGAACAUUUUUCAUGCAAUAAAUAAAGUAAGAGGUUGGUAUUUUUGUGUGUGUGUAUUUAGUCAUUUAAAAGUUAGAACAUAAUAAGAUUAAUAGACAAUGCAUUACAGUAAACUAGCAAUUGGUAAACUCAAAAGAUGCAAGACUUUCCACAAUGCCUCUGGUCUUCGAUUUCAGUAAAUAUCCAAGGCUACAAAACACAUUGAAUAUUAUUCUAAAAGAAAAUCUUGAUUUUAAGGAAAUGAGGAUAUGAUUUGGUAACAAUUACUUAAAAUGUUGAAAUUAACAAGUCAAAGCUCCAUACUCUUAAUUUUAGAAACCGUUUCAAUUUUUUUUUUGCUAAAAUUUAAUAUGUAUUAUAUGUUUUGAAUCGUUUUGAUGUACUGAUGUUAAAAAUAAUUUUUUAAAAAUGAAAAAACAUCAUUGGCAUGCAUUUCAGCAUAAAAAGUUAUUUGAAAAGCAACCGCAACCACACUGCAAAACAUACCCACCAAUGCAACUUUAACUAUCAUGCAUGAAGAAAUCUUAGGGCAAUUAGACUUGCGUUUAUUCAAAUCUACAUAUGAAAAAAAAAUCCCCAUUUCCUAAAACUCGCAAAGAUCUAGCACUUUGAUGCAUUAUUAUAAAUCCAAAUCGGCAAGCUUGCUAUAACAUUGCUUACAUGAUCGCCCAUGAAUUAUCACAGCAAUUAGCUCCCUAGUUUCCAAUAUUCGCAAUUAAUGAGUCAAUAUGGUUUUUUCCUUUGAAACAACUUGUCCACGUGAAUCACAUCUGCAUAAGAAAAGACAAUAUAAGCCAUAAAAAUUGAUCUAUACCAUAACCAGUCCUGAUAUUGACAAAGGAAAGUUAAAGGCUACAUUUGCAAGCUAUAUUCAUCAAACAUGUUACAACGUGUUGAAUUAGUAAGAUGUAAAUCCUUUAGCAAAGAAAACAAUAAGAUGGUUAAACAUGCGGGCUUGCCGAGCCACCUUUACCUGUUUUAAGUCUUUAUUUUUAUCUUUUGGAUAUUUUCCUUAAAUUUUAAUUAUAUUUCAUUAAAACUAAUCAUUUAAAAAUAUAUUAGCUUAAAUUAAUUAAGAAUAUAUUUGGGGUAUUAUUUUAUUAAAUAUCAUUCAAUUUUUACUUUUCUUUAUACAACCUAUCGUGAUUUUUUUUAAUUUAUUCCGACGAGUAAUUAUUUUUAUUAUGAUAUAAUUAAAUGAAAAAUAAGCUUAAAAAAUAGAUUUAUUAAACCAAGCUAGGUUUAAUAUGGGUUGAACCAAGUCAAUUCAAAAUAUUAUCAUCUUAAUAUUAGAAAAACAUCACCAAUAAAUUUCACAUAAUAACACGCAAAUAGUAUGUUGUUCUUAUGUUUUGUUUCAAUUGAAUUUAAAUUGUUUCUCUUCUUCUAAAAACAUUAUUGCCAUAUAAUCAAAUAAAAAAAACUAAAGAGUUAUUAAUGAUUUAAAAUAAGAUAUAUAUAUAUAUAUAUAUAUAUAUAUAUAUAUUUAUUAGCUUCCUAAAUUAUUUUUUAGUUAAUGUUAAUGAUUUUUUAACAUUUAUUUGCAUAUAAUUUUCAAUCAAUUUUACUAGAUAAAUAUAUGGAGUUCAUAAUAAUUAUUUUUAUUAGAAAAUUUAUUGAAAAUAUAUAAUGUUCUUUUUUAAAAUUAAAAAAAAUAAAAUUAAGUUGACAUGUGCCGGAGCGCAAGCCUCCUAGCCGCUACUCUUCACUGGGACCAUUGAGUGGUUGGUCUAGAUAAUAUCGAUGUCGUCGUUGUAGUUUCCUGAGUCACUGGCUCUUCAAGAAUAAAUUAUUAGCAUACAUAAUAUCGAUGUCGUCUUUGUAGUUUCCUCGACGCGUCACUGGCUCUUCAAGAAUAAUUAUUAGUAUAGAUAUUUUUAUGUUUUUAAAAUAUUUUAAAAAAAAAUUAUUUUUUUAUUUUAAAUUAAUUUAUUUUAGUGUUUAUAGAAUUGAUUUGAUGUGUUAAUAUUAAAAAUAAUUUUUUAAAAAUAAAAAAAUUGUUUUAUUAUAUUUACAAGAUAAAAAUAUUUUCAAAAACAAUUGUAAUUAUAUUUUUAUAAGCCCCAUAUAUUCACCUAGCUAUAUGUUGUUUGAGAGUGGGUACAAAUAAAGAUUUGUUAAAAAUUAAUUUUUUAUUUUAUUUAAAAUUAAUUUUUUAUUUUUAGAUUAUUUCAAUAAGUUAAUAUCAAAAUAAAUUUUAAAUAAUAAUAAAAUAUUAUUUUAAAGUAUUUUUACAUACCUUGUACUAGAUUCACAGUAUCAAGAGAAGAAGGGUUGCUAGUUGCUACCGGAGAAGUUAGUUUCAUUGAUUGAUGGAAUGUUAUACUUUAGAAAUCAAAUAAUAUGGUGUCACGAGAAUUAAGCAAAUAGAAAAGCAUUAAAUUUAUGGAAAUCCUUUCCUGUUCUGCGAGGGGAAGGAGUUAGUGGUCUUGAUGUAGUUGUUGGCUUUGCUAACUUUUCCUGUUUUCUAUUAAAGUGUGGUUGUAGUUAUUUUUAAAAAUAUUUUUUUGUGUUGAAAUAUAUCAAAAUAAUAUAUUUUUUAUUUUUUAAAAAUUAUUUUUAAAAUUAGCGCAUCAAAACGAUACAAAACACAUAAAAAAAUUAAUUUUUAAUAAAAAAAUAGAAAUUUCUAGAAACACAAUUUAUUCGCGUUCCGAAACGGUGCCAUAACGGUUGCUUGGAUUGGAAAUUCUUGUUUCUUUUACGGUGGAGUUACAAUGGUUUCAUUGUAUAAUGUUCGUUAAGUCACAAUCAGCCCAGUUUUUGUAUUUAAUCAGCAUUACAAUUACAGGAAUAUUUGCUCCAGAGGUGAAGCUGGUUCUUCAUCCAGCCAAAUAGAAACAAAGAGAGCGGCACAAUGGCAUCAUGCAUAGCAUUUUCCUUUAGGAAUGACAAAACCCUCAUAUCAAGUGAUUGAGCUAUGAGAACAACCAUCAACCAUGGAUUCCCAAGUUUCAAAUGGAUUCACAAAAACACACAGAGCUGUUUAUUUAUUUUUCGUAUCCAAAUACAGGACAUGAAAACCCUUUCAGCCUCACACUUCUUAGAUACAUAACGACAACAGGAGAGACAUCCCCACUAUAUUCACACACAUGCAACAAACAUCUUCCAUUGCAUACUUACUACAGCAGAAAGCCCAUAAAACCCGACACAAGCAGCGCUUGCCUGCUUAAGCUCUGCGGCACGCAUCUCCAUCGCAGUUCCAUCCUUCCUUUCCCUUUUCAGUUCCAGUAUCUUCAUCUUCCUUCAAAGCACACUUAGGGUGAAGAUCAAAGUCACAUUGUUUGCAAUGGAAAGACCACCUAUUUCCAGUUUCCCCACAGCCAUCGCAAAUAUAUGUUUUGCGUUUAGUACGUAUCAGCUCAUGCUCAGUAUGAAGUUCGUGUUUCACUUUCUCUGGCCACCCCUUUGCCUUUUCCUCAAGCUCCUCCUCCAAUUGCUUUAGAUGUUCCUCGGUAAAUGGAAAAGCAUCUGCCCCGUAAGCUGUCAAGUGCAUCCGAGCUUCCUUGGUAAUGGUCCGGCCACUUGGGCCAAUCGCUACAGCUGCAGGAAUGCCUUGAAUUUUGAAUUUCCGACUCAGGAUUUGUUUCCUUCCAUCACCAAAUGGAAGGGCUAACCAAGGCAUUUCUGAAUAGAACUCGUCAAAGGUGGUUUGAUCGCUGUCACUUGAGAUGAAGAUCACCUCAAAUGCAUUGUCUUUUGCUUUAAUUGCGUGGUAUGCUUCAAUUAGCUUGGGUAAAAAGGCACGACAAGGAGGGCACCAUUGAGCUGAGAAGUAAAGAAGAAUGUUCUUUCCAACUAGAUCGGACACUGGGACCUAAUCAAAGAGUAAACCAUUUGAAUGAUAAAAAAAACCUUUGCUAAUGAAUUCAAUUCGUGAUAAUAAGAAAGUUAUUGAAAGUAAUGCAAUAACAACAUGCGAGGUUAGCAUAGAACAAAAAAAAUUACCUUGGAGCCACUUUUGCCAAUCACAAAAUCAUUUUCCCCAUUAACCAAAACUGACUCAAGCGUCUGCGAUUCCAGUUUUGCCUUUUCAAUUGCAGCUAGCUCGUCAAGCUUUUCCGGUGUAAAUGGGUAGGCUUCGAUACCAUGUUCUUCGAUUAGUUCAGCUACAUUUGGGUUCAAAGUCUUCCCAUCUUGGCCAAUUAUAACAAGAUUAGGAAUGGUUCUAAGUUCAAAAUACCGCACUAGCUUCUCGCAGCUCUUGUCCUUCAAUGGCAAUGCCAACCAAGGCAUUGUCUCAAAACUCUCUUUGAAGUCUUCUUCUUCGUCGUCUAGAGAUACUAGGACUACUUCAAAGUUCUCUCCUUUUUCCUUGAGCGUCUUAUACAAUUCCACUAGUUUAGGAGUGAAUUCACCGCACAUCCUAUGAGCAUGGACUGAAAAAUACAAGCCAACCAAUUUUCCUUCAAGGUCCAACACAGGGAUCUGCCAUUACAGAUAGCAAAAAUGUGAAUUAUGGCAUCAUCAAUUCAAUUUCAAAACUAGCUAAUUGAAUGAAGCAUCUACCUUUUUUCCAUCAUUUGAAAUCACAUAAUCACGUGAGCUUGAAACCAAGAUAGAGCUUAUGGUUUGAUUCUUCUUAGCAUUCUCUUCUUGCUCUUUAAGGAAAUUCAGUCUAUCAAGGUUGAACGGAUACCCAUCCACGCCAUGUUCCUUGACAGUGCUGACUCCAUUAUCGCAGGAAACCUUACCAUUAGUAUCAAAAAUGACAAGUCUAGGGAUCCCUCUUACUUUGAACAAUUCCUUAAGACGUUGGCGGGUCUCGGUUUCAGAGAAGGGAAUAGCAAGCCAUGGCAUUUCGGAGAAGUACGUGUUGAAGGAUUCAUCGUCUCCAUCAGAAGAAAUGAAGACCACCUCAAAGCCCCCUUUGGAUGAUAGGUGUUCAUAGACUUCUACCAACAAUGGAGUGAAAUUACGGCAUGGGCCGCACCACGAACCAGAGAAAUAGAAUCCCACAAUCUUCCCAACCAAAUCGCUGACCUUGACCUAAAAAUUAAGAUCAGAAAAAAACAUCAGCCCUUGACGAAUCAAAAUCUUAUUCAUGGUUUCUUUCUCUUGCCAGUGAGAGAAGCAACAAAAAAAAGAGCCUUUUCUUAAUCAUAAAAGCUUCAGAAAUUGGUCAUAAAUUUGUUCUUCAGCAAGGCUUGCAGUCUAAUUUAAACAUGAUAUUCAUCUUAAUUACUAGAAAAACCUACAAGUUCAUAUAAAAAAAGACGUCAACUUAUAAUAAGGCAAGAAGAAGUAGACUUGAAUAAGAUCAGAUCGAGGAACUCAUAUGCUAAAAGCAGUACCUGAUCACCAUUGUUGCGGAUGAGAAAGUCCCUCUCUUCUGAAGAAAGAAGCGUUGAAAGGUCGAGGGAAACGUCUUCGGUGGCCAUAGUUAGCUAUGUGAUGAACUACUCAAAAGGCUAGAACAAUUGCCAAUCCCAGUUGCUAUGUAAUGGAACUUCCAGGCUAAGGCUCCUUUAAAUUACCUACACGCCCGGCCUAGGAAAUUAUUGUUCUAAUAAUUCAACGACGACUUCAAGACUUGGCUGGCGUCGGGUGAUGACGAAGACAUUAUGACGUAGGUCUGCUGAAGUGGUAUUCGCAUUAUCACGUGCUUCUACAACUCUCCUCUUGCUUUUUUUUUUUAAUCUCCUUUUUUUGUUUUUGUUUGUAUUCUAGUUUUAUCCAUGGUUUAAUAAUUUUUUUUGUGAGUUUGUUAUUAAAUGUAUUUUGUGUUUUAUCUUUUUAAUAAAAUCUUUAUAUUUCUUGAUACAAAAAAAUCCUUAAUUGGUUUUUUUAAUUAAAAAAUUAUUCUCUUUUGUUUUUGAUGCAUUUGAAAAUGAAUUUUUCUAUCAAUUUUUUUUCUAAUAUAAAUCAAUAAUCAUAUGUAAAGCAUAGUUGAAAUGAAUGAACGAACAAACAAACUAUAUACAUGACAUCUUACAUAGGAAGCUUAGGAAAGGAUGAAGGCCAAGAAUAAUGUAAAAUAAAACCUAUGCCUCCACUACCAAUAAUGUAAAAAUAAUUAUUGAGAAAAAUAAAUCAUAAAAAUAUACUUCCAGCUCUAGUCAUCCAAAGCUUCUUAAGUCUCAGAAAAAAAAAACAUUUAACACAAACCUCAAUAAAAUUCAAAUGCUAAUUAAAUUCAGAUUUUUGUAACGUAGUCUAUUUUCUAUCAAAUGUGACUUGAUAAUAAUCACAUGCAAUUUAAUAGACAGGCUAAAAUCCAAACUUGAUAUAGUUCUUGGGUUAUAAUAGAGUUUUUCAAUAAUAAAACUCUUAACUUUUUUUUUAUUUUAAAAAUAAUGAUAUUGCAUAUAUUUAAUAAUUAUAAAUAAAAUUAUAUUGUGUAUUUGAGCCACGUCAGGACUCUAUUUCAAUAAAGAGACCCUAUUUUUCCAGGGGAGAAAGAAAGAGUUUUUAAAUGCAAUACUUUGUCAUAAGUCGUGACUUUUCCACACUCAAAAGGGCACCAUACAUAUAUGUCAUUAUACUUUAUCUCCAAACGUAAUUAAAUUAGUCAAUUAAUUGUAAGUGAGGGAAGUUAAUGAAUUUCCACUCUAAAAUGUUCAAAUUCAUUAUCCGUUUUCAACUUUAUCCUGAUUAAAUCAGGUUAAGUAGAUUACUUUCUUCAUUCGUGGGUAUCCAUCAGAUAUCCUAAUCUAUUUUUUAAUUAAUUUUAUAAAAAUCAAACCUAAACUAAAAAAACAAAAUAAUGCUUUAUUUAUGAAUCAUAAAACUAUGAAAUUAAAUUAAAUAUAAAACCAAGAGAUCUGGUUAGUUUAGUGUUGUUGCAAUGUGAAUAAAAACUCAAAAUAUCACGGAUUGAAAUAGUGUUCUAGUUAUUUUUUGAAAUUUUUUUCAUUAUAGUUACCAAACACUUUUUAAAAUUUCUUUUAUCUUUGACAUUUCAUUAAUAGAGAAUUUGGACUUAUUGGUUGGUUUUGAUUGGUUUUCUAUAAUUUUUUUUUUGAAAAAUUAAAUGUCAUUAUAUUAGAGUGAUGUUCGAUUUUACAAAAUAGAAUCCUAUUUUAUUGCAUACAAAAAUUUAAGACUUAGGGGGGCCAAAAUUGAUAGUUAGCAAUGUUAAAGAAUCAUCUUAACCCAAUAGCUUAAGUUUUCAAGUGACGUUCCAAGAUAUGAUUUAUACUAUUCUCUAACACAUCCCCUCAAGUAAAAGCUCUUUGGUCUUGAAAUUUGCACAGACUCACAUUAUUUUGUGCUUAAUUUUUAUCAAAUAAAUAGGGAUGGUGAGAUUCGAACUCGUGACCGCUUGGUUAUCAAGGCUCUGAUACCAUGUCAAAGAACCUUCUCAACCCAAUAGCUUAAGCUUUCAUGUGAGGUCCCAGAAUAUAAUUUAUAUUAUUCUCUAACAAGUAAGAAUUUAAGGUUUUUUUAUUUGAUAAAUGUUCAUUUCACAUCAUUUUACUUUGAAAAAUUUAUAUUUUGAUCCAAAACUCUAUUUUAAUCACAUUUCAGACUAUGAGUUUUAGAAAAAAGAUAAAAAUUCAUUAAAAAUAGCGAAAGAGAGAGAAACACAUACACUGACAAGGUUUUGUUUGUGAAAAUAGCUUAAAUGUGUGUCAAUGUGUUAUUCUUGACAAAAAGAGUGCUACUAUAAUGUUUUUAAGCUUUAUAUUGUCAAAAAAGAUAAAUCGAGGUUGAGAGAAUUAUUUUUAAGUUAAACUUUGUGUUUUAAAAUUAUUUUAGAGUUUCUUUUUAGUUGAUGGAUUAGUUUAGAGACAAUUUAAAAGUAUUUAUAAGAUGUUUUUAAAUAAAAAUAUAUUAAAAAAUAGAAUUUUAAAUAAAAAACUCCAACCCAAUUCUUUAACCACUUCUCUAUUAUAAAAAAAAUAUAAAGCAAAUGAUGUGACAAAAAAAUAAAUCAAGCAAAUGAUUGUCAUUUGUUUUAUUAAAAAAAAAAAUAAAGGACAAAUACUAUGUCAUCCAUCAAAGAUAAAAUAAAAUGGCUCUUUCAUCUUUUGGAUAAGCAUGCCGAGUCACUUGGCCCCACAAACAUGGCUUGUUUCUAGCUUCUUUUUUUUUUUUUAUGAAUCUUUAUCCUUGAAUUUUAAUUUUAUUUCAUUAAAAUUAAUUAUUUAAAAACACAUAAGGAUAUUAUUUUAGUAAAUACUUGAAUUAUUAAGAAUAUAUACGAAAUAUUAUUUUAUUAGAUAUCAUUUAAUUUUUAUUUUAUUUUAAAAUAAAAUUAUAAUAUUCAUUAUAUAAUAUUAGUAAGAGAUGUUUUUUGGACAACCUAUCAUGAUAUUCCUUAUCUUUGCACAUUCGGUGUCAGAGACUAUAAUAAUAGAUUCCAUGGAAAACAUUAAGGGUAAGAUUCAAUUAUUAAAUGAUAAUCGACUAAAAUAGUGUUUGGAGCCGAUCUGUAUUUUUUAAAAAUUCAAAAUUAUUUUUAUUAAAAAUUAAUUUUUUUUUAUAUUUUGGAUCGUUUUGAUGAGCUGAUUUCAAAAAUAAUUUAAAAAAAUAUCAUUUUGAUGCAUUUCAGAAUAAAAAAUACUUUGAAAAGCAAUCGUCACCAUACUCCCAAACAAGAAUUAAGAACAUGUUUAAAAAUGUAGUAGAUGAUGAGUUUUAAAAUAUUUUUUACUCGAAAAUAUAUUAAAAAAUAUAUAUAUUUUUUAAUUUUUUAAAAUUUAUUUUUAACAUCAAUACAUUAAGACAAUUCAAAAACACUAUAAAAAAAAAUAAAUUUUAAACAAAUAAUACUUUGCCCCAUUUAACUAUAAACAAAAUCAUCGUAUUCUUAAUCUAUUUGUCACAUCAUGAAACAUGAUGAUCAUUAACUGGCAAACACAACACCAACACCAUUACGUAGAAAUCAAGUAUGAAGGGCUCGUAAAUCUAGUCGAUAUAUGUAUAAAUUAGCCCGAACAUUCACAUUAAUAAAAACAAAAAAUCAUGUGUGACACUUAAAAUUUAUCAUAACAAAUUGAUCAAAUUAUAAAGUAAUCCCUAUAUUUUUAAGAAAUUAAUAGCUCACUCCCUUUUUUUAAAAUAAGCCAUAUUUUACCUCCAUGUUAUCAUUUCCAUUUACUGUAACUUAGUUCUUCCUUUAGUUUUACAUUAUAAAAGUGCUAAACCAUUACUUUAGGUAUUAGUGAAAAAAAAAAAAAAGUAUCUAUUAACGGAUUGACGGUCAAAGCUUCUCAAUUGAGUAACUUUUUGGUUUUUAAAAACAGAAGGACUAACAUAUUGGUUUAUUGAGAAUAUGAGGAUUCAAUUAUAAUUUACUUCAGGAAACAAAUAUGAUGCUAUUGACAUCCCCACAAGUGAACUGGCACAAUUAUUGUUUAUAUAAAAUUUCAAAAUUAUUUAUUCUUAAUUUUAACAUUUUAUUUUUAAAAUUUUAUUGUAAUGAAGUGACAGAGUAUGCUAAGAGUAUACCAAAAUAAAACACUGUUGUUUUAAUAUAAAAAUUAAUUUACAGGUUGACUGGAUAGCCUUAUAACCUAGAUGUUUUUCGAAGUUAGUUUUGAAUGAAUGGAGUGUUAUUAGUUAGUUCAGCGUGAUAAUUGGACUGAAAAUCUUUCGUUCUAAAUUAUCAACCAUUCAGAAUUGUUUUGUGCGUGAGGAUGCCAAAUUACCAAAACUAAACCCUAUUUAUAAUCCAUCACCUAUCAAUAGUGAUGUAAGAGUUCCAGCUUGUUUUCUGCAGCUGUGCCAAAACCUGGAGGGUCUAUACUAGCCCAGCAGUCCUUCCCCCGUCGUAAGGUAAGAGCCCAGCACCAGCAGUGUCCUUCCUCCGUCGUAGAGGGGUCCAUACACGAGAUGGCCAGAGAUAGUCAGUGAUUUCGAAAUAUUCCUUUUCAGACUGCAACAAUUGAUAAGGUUUUGUGGCUGUCAUGGCGAAGGCAAAUUAAAGCACAUGAGAUUCAGUGGUGAGAAGCUAUGGAAAGUGGCAAAAAGAAACAGCGAGAACAUGAAACACGCAUUUGAACAUGAAAAAGUAAAUAAGCUGAACAUAAUUAAUGGGCCAUAGAAGCGAAGGUUUUUUCAAUGGCUUCAAACUUUUUGGCAGCGUGCUUGAUUGUUGUCGCCGAAUUUCUUGGCAGUGUGCUUGCUUGAAUUGCGGAUGUAUCACAUGGAUGAUAUUUUCGUUCUUUUGAGGCAUCAAAUAAUAUGGUGUCACGAGAAUUAAGCAAAUAGAAAAGCAUUAAAUUUACGGAAAUCUUUUCCUGUGGUCUUGGUGUAGUUGUUGGCUUUGCUAGCUUCUCCAAGCUCACCACUAAUCCUAUCUGUCCUUUGCGUCCCAUGAACUGAUACAAGCAAUAGCCUGCCCGUGAUUCUGGUUUAAUUGAUUGCAGACAUGUUCAUCAACAAACGCAGGUGUCCGCCCUCCAAAUAACUGCCAUGAACCCAGUUUCCACCUGCUGGGAUUUCAUUUGUCUUUCUUAGUUCUGAGUUCGAAUUAAUGCUGCUUUCUUGAUUCUGAAAUCCGCCUCAACAAGUUAUUUGAGAAGGCAAAGAGGGGGGAAAAUGACUAUCCAGUUGCUUGGAUUGGAAAUUCUAGUUUCUUUUACGGUGGAGUUACAAUGGUUUCAUUGUAUAAUGCUGGUUAAGUCACAAUCAGCCCAGUUUUUGUAUUUAAUCAGCAUUACAAUUACAGGAAUAUUUGCUCAAAUGGGUCACAGGAUUCACAAAAACACAGAGAGCUGUUUAUUUAUUUUUCGUAUCCAAAUACAGGACAUGAAAACCCUUUCAGCCUCACACUUCUUAGAUACAUAACGACAUCAGGAGAGACAUCCCCACUAUAUUCACACACAUGCAACAAACAUCUUCCAUUGCAUACUCACUACAGCAGAAAGCCCAUAAAACCAGACACAAGCAGCGCUUGCCUGCUUAAGCUCUGCGGCACACAUCUCCAUCGCAGACCCAUCCUUCCUUUCCCUUUUCAGUUCCAGUAUCUUCAUCUUCCUUCAAAGCACACUUAGGGUGAAGAUCAAAGUCACAUUGUUUGCAAUAGAAAGACCACCUAUAUCCCGUUUCCCCACAGCCAUCGCAACCGUAUGCACUGCGUUUAGUACGUAUCAGCUCAUGCUCAGUAUGAAGUUCGUGUUUCACUUUCUCUGGCCACCCCUUUGCCUUUUCCUCAAGCUCCUCCUCCAAUUGCUUUAGAUGUUCCUCGGUAAAUGGAAAAGCAUCUGCCCCGUAAGCUGUCAAGUGCAUCCGAGCUUCCUUGGUAAUGGUCCGGCCACUUGGGCCAAUCGCUACAGCUGCAGGAAUGCCUUGAAUUUUGAAUUUCCGACUCAGGAUUUGUUUCCUUCCAUCACCAAAUGGAAGGGCUAACCAAGGCAUUUCUGAAUAGAACUCGUCAAAGGUGGAUUGAUCUCUGUCGCUUGAGAUGAAGAUCACCUCAAAUGCAUUGUCUUUUCUUUUAAUUGUGUGGUAUGCUUCAAUUAGCUUGGGUAAAAAGGCACGACAUGGAGGGCACCAUUGAGCUGAGAAGUAAAGAAGAAUGUUCUUUCCAACUAGUUCAGACACUGGGACCUAAUCAAGAGCAAACCAUUUGUAUAAUAUAAAAAACCUUAGCUAAUGAAUUCAAUUCGUGAUAAUAAGAAAGUUAUUGAAAGUAAUGCAAUAACAACAUGCGAGGUUAGCAUAGAACAAAAAACAUUACCUUGGAGCCACUUUUGUCAAUCACAAAAUCAUUUUCCCCAUUAACCAAAACUGACUCAAGCGUCUGCGAUUCCAGUUUUGCCUUUUCAAUUGCAGCUAGCUCGUCAAGCUUUUCCGGUGUAAAUGGGUAGGCUUCAAUACCAUGUUCUUCGAUUAGUUCAGCUACAUAUGGGUUCAAAGUCUUCCCAUCUUGGCCAAUUAUGACAAGAUUAGGAAUGGUUCUAAGUUCAAAAUACCGCACUAGCUUCUCGCAGCUCUUGUCCUUAAAAGGCAAUGCCAACCAAGGCAUUGUCUCAAAACUCUCUUUGAAGUCUUCUUCUUCGUCGUCUAGAGAUAUUAGGACUACUUCGAAGUUCUCUCCUUUUUCCUUGAGCGUCUUAUACAGUUCCACUAGUUUAGGAGUGAAUUCACGGCACAUCCUAUGAGCAUGGGCUGAAAAAUACAAGCCAACCAAUUUUCCUUCAAGGUCCAACACAGGGAUCUGCCAUUACAGAUAGCAAAAAUGUGAAUUAUGGCAUCAUCAAUUCAAUUUCAAAACUAGCUAAUUGAAUGAAACAUCUACCUUUUUUCCAUCAUUUGAAAUCACAUAAUCACGUGAGCUGGAAACCAAGAUAGAGCUUAUGGUUUGAUUCUUCUUAGCAUUCUCUUCUUGCUCUUUCAGGAAAUUCAGUCUAUCAAGGUUGAACGGAUACCCAUCCACGCCAUGUUCCUUGACAUGUCUAACUCCAUUAUCGGAGGAAACCUUACCAUUAGUAUCAAAAAUGACAAGCCUAGGGAUCCCUCUUACUUUGAACACUUCCUUAAGACGUUGGCGGGUCUCCGUAUCAGAGAAGGGAAUAGCAAGCCAAGGCAUUUCGGAGAAGUAUGUAUUGAAGGAUUCAUCGUCUCCGUCAGAAGAAAUGAAGACCACCUCAAAUCCCCCUUUGGAUGAUAGUUGUUCAUAGACUUCUACCAACAGUGGAGUGAAAUUACGGCAUGGGCCGCACCACGAACCAGAGAAAUAGAAUCCCACAAUCUUCCCAACCAAAUUACUGACCUUAACCUAAAAAUUAGUGUCGAGCAUAAUCAGAAAAAAAACAUUAGCCCAUAAAUUAAGAGGGUAAACAAAAACUGAGGCUUUUCUUAAUCAUAAAAGCUCUAGAAAUUGGUCAUAAACUUGUUCUUCAGCAAGGGUCGCACUCUAAUUUAAACAUGAUAUCCAUCUUAAUUACGAGAAAAAGUUUAAUAAGACAAGUAGAAGUAGAUCGCAUAAGACCAGAGAAAUCCAUAAGCUAAAAGCAGUACCUGGUCACCAUUGUUGCGGAUGAGAAAGUCCCUCUCUUCCGACGAAAGAAGGGAUGAAAGGUCGUGCGAAACGUCUUCGUUGGCCAUUGUUAAGUGAUGAACUACUCAAAAUGCUAUAACAAUUGCCGAUUCCAAACGCUAUUUAUUGGGACAAACUGGGAUGGUUCCUUCUAAGUUACUUGCACAGCACGCCGAGUGAACUAUCAGACGUCAACGAUGACAUGUAAAUUUGGAUGGUGAUGACAAAAACAUCAUUCUCCUUAUCUAAAUACCAGCAGGUUCGAGAAACUGGUAUUAAACAUGCUUUCCCACGUGCAACACACCUCCUCUGGCUUUUUUUAUUUAAAAAGAAAAAGAAAAAGAAAAAGAAAAAGAAAAAGAAAAAACAUAUAUUUUUUUUAAUUUCUCUCUCUUUUAUUUUUUUAGUCACUCUUCACUUUUUACCUUUUUUUUUUUUUUCAAGAAUCUGAAUUCUAGGUUUCUUCUUUAAUUAUAAAAAACCUCUUAUGAUUUGAUUAUGUGAAAUUAUACUUUAUAUUUUUUAUCAAAUAAAUUUUUUUAAAUUGAUAAAAUAUCCAAAUUGUCUUUAUCUAUAAUAUAUGAGAAAAUCAAUUGAAUAAUAGAUCAUAUACUCACACUCUCUUUCUUGUCCUACUUUCUCUCUCUACAAAUCAUAUUCUCUCCCUUCUUUGACAACUAUUAUCAUAAUUUGUUUAAUCGGUCUGUUUUUUGUUCUCGUUUUGUGGGGAGUUCCUUCCUUUUCAUGUUUAGAACUCGACGAAGUUGGAAUCUUUUUCAUUGUUGUUAGUCCAAAGAUCACUAUUACAUAUGGUUUUAGUAAUUUUAAUGAUCACAACAAUUUAGUGAAUUUAAUAUGUAUAUGAAGAUUUGAUAUUAUAAGGAUUUUUCUACUAUGUCAAAUUAGAGCAAAAUAGAUUCUUUGGAUGUAAACUUAACUUUGGAUGCCUAAACUUAGAGUUAUGUAAUCAAGUCUUUACAUAAUUUAAUUUUUCACACAAAAAUGAUUUUUAUCCAAAAAGAUUCUUUAUUAUUGAAUUUUUACAUAUUGAAAAAUAGUUUACGAGAAAAUCUUUCAUAAAAUAUUUCAGAUUGUUACUAAAUUUUUUUUAGAAUGAAAAGUAUAAACUUAAUUAAAUGAUUUCUUGUGUUUUGAUCACACUAAACAUUUCUUGUUCAUUUUCAACUAAGUGGGUAGCUAAGUGAGUUGUGACUUUUCCAUACUCAAAAGUGCAUAAUACAACUAUGUCAUUCUACUUUGCUAAACACACCAAGCAUGUUUAAAUUUCUCAUUUAGCAAUAAUCAAUGGAAGGUAAUAAAAUAAGUUGGAUUUGAGUUUUACUUAAUUGUUCCAUCUAAAACAUCCAAAUUCAUUAUCCAACUCUGACCUAAUUAAAUUAGGUUAAAUCGGGGAUGAAAAAGUUUUUUUUUCAAGUUAAAUUUUAUGUUUUAAAACCAGUUUAGGAGUUUUUUGAGUUGACAGUAGGGGUUUUUUUUUGUUCGGUUUGGUUUUGGGAAAAAAAAAGAUAACUUCAUUGAAAUUUACUUUUUUAAGGUUUUCAACCCGAAAUCAGUUCAAAGCUAUCGGGUGCGGCUUGGUUCAGUCUUUUUUGUUUCAAAACUUGUUCAGAUCGACAUUAUUUCAAUUGAGAGUUUUUAUAAGCCUCGCUUUUUAGGUUUUUAUUACAAUGGAUCCAAGUUAUUUUUACUAUUUUUGGGUUUUUCAAGAUUUGUUUUGAAUUUUUUCAUAAAAGGUUUGAGUUGUUUUAUUACAAAGGCUUUUCAUGCCUAUAAAUAAUUAUAUGAAUUUUUACUUCAAUAUAAACAUACAUAGUUGAUGCGAAUUCGGAGAGUAAAACCCCUUGAACCCUCACACAAGAAAAAAAAUCCAAGAAAGCUAAAAUCAAGUUGAAAAGAACCCAACCUAGUGGUUAUCUAAACUAAAGAAUCAUAGUUAUUGGAUGAAAAAACUUAACCCAAUAAUUAUAAUGAACCACUAACUAAAGGUAUAAGGAUGAAACCCCAACCCGUUAAAUAUUGUAAUAAAUAACGAACUAAGAACUAUAGGUGUAAGGAUGGAUAUCAUAAAGAGAGUUGAUCUUUGAUAAGUUUUUUAAAAAGUUCCAUGAGGAACCAAGAGUAUAAGUAAACUCUUUCACACACAAUAAUAUUCUGAAUAAUCAAUCCGUCUCAAAUUAUUAAAAAAAACUAAAUAUAAGUUAAAUAACCAUAUUUAUACUAGGUAAAAUAAAAAAUGCUAAAAAAAUAACAAAAGAGUUCUAAAUGAAAUAGAAGAAAGAAUUCUAAAUUAAUUGAGAAACUAAUGCAAUUCUUGUAUAGUAGCUUUUGAUCUUUAUCGUAAGGCCUUAUCAAUAUUUAAUUGCUAUUAUAUUUCAACUCCAUAUAAAACAAGGAUUUUAGAAUCAUUAAGAAAAUUUGAAGCCCAAUCCACAUGUAAGCAGGAAAAUAAGUUGAAUCCGUAAGUCCUAUAGAAAAUAAAACUCAAAUAUCUUGAAAUAAUCACUAAAUAUUUCUUUAACCUUCUUAGCUCAUAACCUGGCACAUGUAAUUAAUCAUAUGGUAUUGCUUGAUGGUUUUAACAACAAUGCUUCAAUUCAUCCAAAUUAAUAACAAAAAAAGUAAAUGAAAUCUAAAAAGCUACUCUCCAUGAAAAGAUGACAAAAAAAGCUUUCAUCAAAAUCUUAACCAUCUCAUAAUUAUCACUCAUAAAUUAUCACAACAAGUAGCUCCCUAGUUUUCAAUAUUCGUAAUUAAUGAGUCAAUAUUCGUAAUUAUCACUCAUAAAUUAUCACUCAUGGUUUAUAAGGUGUUUUAUAGGUGUUUUGGGUCAAAACAGGUUUUUAGGUCAAAUGAGCAUAAACUCUGAUUUUCCGACAACCACAAUGGCUAGAACCUGGGCAAAACAGGUGUACAUGACUGUCACACCCAAGAGCAUUAAUUGGGUUUGGCAGUCAUGCCAAAUCCAAGGCACUUGGGGCAAGCAGUCAUAAAAGACUUAAGCGUCUUGGGUCAGGCAAGGAUUGAGUCUGACAGCGUUACCCUUGGGUCUGACAUGGUUGCCUGCCUAAGCACCUUGGGUCAGGCAUGGAUUGAGUGUGGCAGGCAAGCCAGACCCAAUCCAUGGGUUUGGUAUGGUUGCCAUCAUAGUUAUCAGACUCGGCUUGACCCUGCAGGUCAACUCAGGACCCGGGUGACCUAGGGCCUUAGCUAGGUAUAUUUCAUUUAAAAUUCAGGCCUGCAAUUGACCUAGAUAAAACCGGUCAUCUUGUCGGAUUAACCCAGAACUCGGGUGACCCAGUAAAACCCGGUAAAGACCUGUUUUUUUUUUUUCAAAUAUAUUUUUUCUCUUAGCCAGAGACCCAUUUUUUUUUAUAUUUUUUAGUUGUUUAUAACUCAUUUCAAAGUUCACUAUAUAAAUACUAGAAGAAUGUUUUUAUUUUUUCAAAGUAAGUUUUGAAGCCCUUUAGUAUAUAUAUUCUAUGUUCACAAUAAAAGGUUAUGUUUUUUCAAUGUGGGAUAAAAAACCUUUUUGAUUUAAAUAUUUCAACUUAAAAUAAUAUGAUAGUAUCUUGCAAAUGUGGGAUAAAAAACCUUUUAAAAUAACAUUUUAAACUUAAUUAUUUACAACAUGUAUAACCCAUAUCCACAUAGAUUAUUUCUUAAUUUUUUUCAUAUGAAAUAUUAAAACCUCAAAUAUUAUUUUAAAAUUUUUCUAAAUUGACCCGAGUCAGCCCGUGUAACCUGGGUCUCGGCUCCUGGGCCGGGUCAACCCUUGGGCCGAGUUUGAUAAUUAUGGAUGCAAUAAAAAUAUAACUUCAAAGAAUACAAUUAAAAAAAAAUAAAGUGACGUGACCGGUUAAAAAAAUAAAAACUGAAAAAAUGCAUAGAACCUCUUUUUUUUUUUUUGUUCAAGGAGCCUCUUUUAAAUAAUAUUGAUUUUUUUGUUACGUGUUUAAUUUUCGGAAUAGUUUUUUUGGUUCAUCUAUAGUUUUGUUUUUAUUUUUUAUAUAGAUAAACUGUGUUUUUGAAAAUAAAAAAUGUUUAUUUUUAGAUGAUAUUUUUAAUAUGAGUAGUUUUACAUGUUAUUUUUUUUAAAAAAAUUAUUCAAUUAAUUUAAUGUCUUAUUUUUCAAGAUUCAAUAUAUUGAUCUACAUUUGUCUCUCGGUUUUCUAAGUUUUGUUUUAAGAUGUCAUUAAUGAUUUUUUAUUGAUUUAUUAGCGCACGUAAUUCUUAGUUUAUUUGAUUACUUGUGUGCAUCAACUUUUUGAUUUAUUAUAUUUUUUGAAGUAUCAAAAUGCAUUGAAAAAACCUGCAUAAAUAAUGUUUUAUGAAAAAUAAAAAUAUCUAACUUGCAGUGAAGCACAUGACACGUAGCUAGCAAGUUCUAUAAAAUGAGUUAGCAAAGUAGAAAACAAACUUGUAAUAGAUUUGUGCACAUUGCCAUUUCACCAUAAGUUACAUUAGCUCUCAAAACUUUUACAUUAGCUCUCAAAACUUUUACAUUGAAACUUAUAAUACUAGAACUAACAAAACAUACUAGCAGAAAUAUAGUAAGCUUGCAACAAAAUAAGAAUCAAGACAUCAAAUUUCCUUUGUGCCUUUGAAACAUAAAAUGUAAAUUAUUAGGGCACAAUUAAUAAUAACUUAUAGGAAAUAAUUAAUCUACAUCAAAUAUGCUAAAUAACAUAAAUCAACUUUGUCAAACAUAAUUAUUGUGAACAUUGAUUUUUUUUUUAGCCCUGUUUGUUUCAUGAAAAAUGGUUUUUUAGAAAUUAUUUUCCAAACUUUUCUGUGUUUGUUUGUCAUUAGAAAAAUUGAUCAACGAAAAACACUUUACAAUAAAAGAAAAAUUUAGCUUGGUUUCUAGGAAAUUAUUUUCCUUUUAUUUUAGGUGGAAAAUACUUUUUAGAAGUUGUGAAAAUUUAGAAAUGUCUUGUUAUAUGCUGAUUAUAUCAAAUUUGAUCCUCAAACUUUUAAUUGUUAUAUAUUUUGUUUUGAUUUUUUUCUUUCAAUUUCAACCCUUAGAAUUUGAUUUAAUUUGAUUUUUAUAUCAAUCUUGGUCUUUAUUUUUAUAAUUGUUAUUUGCUUUUCUCUUAUCAUUUUUAAUUGAAAUUUUUUUAUCUAUCAAAUCUGGUCCUCAUUCUUUUGAUUGUUAUUUACUUUAUUUGAAAUAAUUUUUAAAAUUGUAAUUUUUUUUAAUUUCAUCCUCUUUCAACUUUUUUAUUUGUUAGAUUUGAUCUCUAUUAUUUUUAUUGUUAUUUAUUUUAUUUGAGAUAUUUUAUGAAAUUAGAUUUUUUUUUAAUUUUAUUAUCAUUCAACUUUUUAAUUUGUAAGAUUUGUUCCUUAUUAUUUUAAUAAACUUGAAAAAAAAUUAACAAUUUAUUUUUCAGUUUAUUUUUUAUGACAUAGUCAAAUACUUAAAAAUAUUUUUUAAUAUAUUUUUUAUGAUAUUAUCAAAUAUCAAAAUAUAAUUUACUUUUUAAAAAUUUAAUUUUCAAGAAAAUUACCUUUUUUAAAAAAUAUAUGUUUUUAGCAAACAAAAGGGUUAAUGUUAAUUUUUUUAUAUAUGACAUGGGGUAGAGUGCAAGCCAGCUAGCCGGAUAGUCUUUGGUGGAUAUUCUUUAGGACUUGGAGGGAAUAAACACAAAAGGUACGAUUUUUUUUAGAUGGAAAUCUGAGCUUUAUUGACCAUAUAUGUCUUGCCAGGUGGCUUCUUGUCUUUCCUUAACUGUCAUGUCUCAUUUGAUAAUUAGGAAUUCCUGGCAGGGCUGCUUUAUUUUAUUGUUAUAUUAGUUUGGUUUUGUGUUUUUUUAAUGAAGUUGGUGGGUCCAGAAACACUCAUUUGGAUUUUAUAUAUAUAUAUAUAUAUAUAUAUAUAUAUAUAUAUAUAUAUAUAUAUAUAUAUAUAUAUAUAUAAUUAACUAUAAACUUGCACAAUUAUUUUACUAUAUAUUAAAACAUUUGAAAAAAACACGGUAGAAAUACUAUAGAUUUACUGUAAACAAAGACACAUUGCCCUGUGGAAGAAACUGUGUCAUAGAGUAUUUGCACUGUGGACAACACUGUUGUACCAUGGGGCAUUCCUUUCCUUUGUUUUUAGUCAAUAAUUACGGGUGGGGGUGUGACCUUCUCUACCAAAAGCCGCUGGGUUUGACUUUGGUAGCCGGACCCAACGCUGUUGUGUUUGGUUGACAAGUUAGACCUAAAACACUUCCAAAACAUGCCAAUAAUGUUGAGUCCUGCAUUCCAGCCAAACCCAACAGAGUAUUUGACUGUGAACACAUAAUGUUCGACUGUGGACGACACUGUAGCGCCUGUGGGGGGGCGUUGUCUUUUCUGUUUGUAAGUCAGAAAGGCUUGCUGGGUCGUUGCAGCAGGACCUAAUAGCUUUGGGUCCUGCUUCCACUAGGACCUAAUGGCGUUGGGUCUUGCUGGAACCAUUAGAGUUGGGUCCUGCCUCAAUAGGACCCAUGACUAUAAUUUUUUCCCUUUUUCAUACGGGUAUGGCUGCGUAGCCAGACCCAGCAGCCAUACCCAAUUAAAUUUCUUGGCCGUUGUCUUCUUUGAUUUAAAUUUAUUUUUCAAAAUAAAUUGAUUGUACUGUGGACAACACUAUAGCAUUUUCCCAGAUCAAUCCUAGCUUUAUCAUCUACACACGCACGCACAUGCACUUUUUUCCUUUUUUGACAAGGAAUUAAAGUUAAUCAAUGCAAGAAAGUAGUAAGAUCACUGACAUCGGCAUAGGAAGAUUGUAAAAAAAAAAUUGAUUUCCUUCGGUGGAUGGAUUGGGAAUCCAUAUUAUCACGUACGUGAGAAUUCAAUCCCCCAUGCCUCUCUAUGCCUAUGUACAUCGUAAAUAUAUACAUUUUCUUCACUAUAGUAUAACACCACCAUUGAAUAUAAUGGAAGACCAUUGAUCAAUAAGGACGACUGGCUUCCAGACCUGGAGCCAUACCUAAUUAAAUUUCUUUGUUGUUGCCUUCUUUGACUUAAAUUUAUUUCUCAAAAUAAAUUGAUGAAUUUUUUUUUAUAUUGUAUAAAAGUUAGGUGAUGAUAAUUUUUUUCCCCAUUUCAGAUUGGGUUGAAUUUCCUAAUUAAAUCAUGUUUGAUUUUGCGUUUCGAAAAUUCUUUGAAAAAAAUUUGACAAUUUUUAAGUUUUUUUCUUUGCUUCAAAUUAAUAUUUUUGUUAUGUUUUUGUAUUUUUUUUAAAAUAUAUAUGUUGAGAUUUUGUCUAGCUGCGACGCCAAACCCAAUAAAUUUUUUUAUUUUUUUUACUUCAAAAUAAUAUUUUCUUCAUGUUUUUGUAUUAUUUUUAAAUAAUUUUUUUUAAAAAAAAUAUUGAGAUUGUAGACGGUUGAGAGGUGAGAAACAAGAAAUUUAAAAAAUUUUAAUUUUUUUCUUUACUUUAAAUUAAUAUUCUUUCGAUAUUUUUGUAUUAUUUUUAAAAAAAUUAUACUGAAAUUAGAUCUGAUUGCGUUGUAUCCUGCCUUCCAGCAUGACCCAAAAAUGUUGGCCCCCUACUUGCAGGAGGACCCAAUGCUUAAUUGGGCCCUACUGCCUCCAUGCCCAACAUCGUUGGGGGCUUUUGCAACCAGGAUCCAAUUACGGUGGGCUCGGCCUCCUAGCAGGACCCAAUAUGCGUUGCCAGCAUGGGUGAUUAGGUCCUUUCCGCUAAGGGAACUUGAUUGUGCAGCAGGCAUCGAAAACACAAGCUCAGUAGCAAUUCAUUUUAGCAACUAAACAGGCUAUAAACAAGCCUAUAAGCCCUUUUUUCUUUGAAAGAGAGAGAUUCAUACUUAUCAAUAUUACAAGGGAAAGAAAAGCUCUGAAACUGAAAAGGGAUAUCCUGAUUUCAUUGCCUACUUGAUUGCUUUCUAAAUAGGAUGUGCAUUUCUCCUAGAACCAGCUGGCUUACGGGCUUACAAGGAACCAAAAAUACUUGGAAGUCACACUUUAAUAGGCACUGAAAUUAGAUUUCUUUGAUUUAAAUUCAUUUUUCCAAAUAAAUUGAUGGGACUUUUAUUAUAUUGACCAAAACUUGAGUGAUGAUUUUUUUUUUCGUUUCAGGUUGGGUUGAAUUUUCUAAUUAAAUUAUGUUUGAUUUUGCGUUUCAAAAAUUCUUUUAAAAAAAUUUGAUAAUUUUUAAUUUUUUUCUUUACUUCAAAUUAAUAUUUUUUUUUAUGUUUUUGUAUUAUUUUUUUUAAAAAAAUAUGUUGAGAUUGUCUCUGACUCGAAGCCCGACCCAAGAAAUUUUAAAAUUUUAAUUUUUUUCUUUACUUCAAAAUAAUAUUUUUUAUAUAUAUUUUUGUAGUAUUUUUAAAAUAUAUUUUCUAAAAAAAUAUAUUGAGAUUGUGUCUGGAUGAGAGGGAAGACCCAAGAAAUUUAAUUUUUUUUCUUUACAUCAAAUUAAUAUUCUUUUGAUACUUUUGUAUUAUGUUUUCAAAUAUUAUUUAAAAAAAUAUGCUAAGAUUAAGUCUAGCUGUGUCACCAGACCCGUGGCAGUAGUGGGCCCUACCUAUAAGCAGGACCCACCGCUACUGGGUCCUUCUCCCAAGCAUGACCCAAUGAUGUUGGGCCAUGCUGCCCAGCAGCGGUGGGCCGUCCUCCAAGACCCAUUAGCUUUGGGUCCUGCAGCCAGCAUGACCCAUCAAAAAGCAUUGGGUCCUGCUGGGGGCAGGACCCAGUAAACCAAUAUUGUAAUGUGUUUUUCCUUUCUCUUAUUUUUUUUCAUAGGGUAAAGAGGAAAUAUUAUUAUUAUAUUAUUGUUAUUGUUAUUAUUAAUAAAUUCAAAGAAAAAAAAAUUAUUACGAUCGAAGAAAAAACAUAAAUUUUAUUUAAAGAGAUUAAAAAAUAUAAAAACUUGGGUUAGACAAGUUUAACAUUAUUAUUAAUAUUACAAAUAUUAUUAUUUGUAUUAUAAAUAUUAUUAUUUUUAUUACAGGUAAUAUUAUUAAUAUAAUAAUUAAUAAAUUUGAAAACAAAUAUCAUUAAUAUUGAAAAAUAACCAUUGAUUUGAUUUGAAAGUUAAAAUUAAAAAUCAUUUUUAUUUUUAUUAAGUUGGGUUUGACAUCCCCUUCUAAACCCGAGAAACUUGGGGCAGGAAAGGGACACAUGAUCGAAGUUGCUUGGGAGAGGCAGGAGCGCGGAUCCAAGUCCCUCGGAUCUUGCAGCCGCGCCUGACCCAACAUACUUGGGUUAGACGUUUGGAGCCAAGCUUGGAUCUGGCUGCAACGCUAGACCCAAGAGCGUUGGGUCUAGCCGAAAGGACGGACCCCAAGCUCAGGGGUCUUCCUUUUUAAACAGACCCAAUGCUCUUGUGAGCAGGACCCACUAAAGUUGGAACAUGCUGCCACCAGAACCUAGCAGCGGUGGCCCUGCUGCCAGCCUCCCCUGCCCAGCACGACCCAACGUUGUUGGGUCCUUCAAUCAAGCAUGACCUAAUGAUGUUAGGCCCAAAUGGGUACCCAGCUGCUAGGUCAUUUUGUCGAGCAUGAUCCAAUGAUGUUGUAACUUUAAUGGGUUCGGAUUGAAGUUAGACUCAAUGCUCUUGGAUCCGACAUUUAUAAGGGGUGCAAAGCUCUUGGGCCCGACAUUUAUAAAGGGUGCAAAGCUCUUGGGCCUGAUGUUGCAGACAGACCCACUUACUCUUUGAUAAGUUUAAUAUUGAUAUGAAUAUUAAAAAUAUUAUUAUUUGUAUUAGGAAUAUUAUUAUUAUUUUUAUUAUAAUUAACAUAGUAAUUAACAAAUUUGAAAAACAAAUUUUAUAUUGAAAAACAACUUACAAAUUUAAUAAAGGGUAAACUUAAAAAUUAUUAUUAUUAUUAUCAUCAUCAUCAUCAUCAUCAUCAUUAUUAUCAUUAAAUGUUUUUAAAAAAUGGAAGAAAAACCAUAAUUGUUUUGUGAAUAGAUUAAAAAAAAAUAAAAACUUGGGUCAGACAAGUUAUAUAUUAUUAUUAAUAUUAUUAUAAAUAUAUAUUUUUAAAAAAAUAUAUUAAGAUUGUGUAUGGCUGAGAGGUGAGACUCAAGAAAUUUUAAAAUUUUUAUUUUUUUCUUUACUUCAAAUUAAUAUUCUUUUCAUAUUUUUGUAUUUUUUCUAAAAAAUUAUACUUAUUAUAUAUUAUAUUAUAUAUGUAUAUAUUUUUAUUUACUAUAUUAAAACGCGUUAUCUUUGUUGUUUGUGAGUAAAAAAUUACAGCUGGGUUGAUGGAUCCUGCUAUCACUAGGAUCCAAUAGCGUGAGGUCCUGUUGCGAGCAGGAUCCCAUUGGCGUGAGGUUCUGUUGCCAGCAGGAUCCCAUGGUGUUGGGUCCUCUAGGCCCCAUUAGUGUUGGGUUGGGUCCUCUAGGCCCCAUUAGUGUUGGGUCCUGCAAGACCCAUCAGCUUUGGGUCCUUCGGCAAGCAAGACCCAUCAAAAAAUAUUGGUCCUGCCACUAGUAGAACCCAAUACUACAAUGUGUUUUUUUUUUCUUCUAUUUUUUUUUCUCAAAGGGUAAAGAGGAAAUAUUAUUAUUAUAUUAUUCUUAUUGUUAUUUUUAUCAUUAAUAAAUUCAAAGGAAAAAAAAUUAUUACUAUUGAAGAAAAACCAUAAAUUUUAUUUGAAGAGAUUAAAAAAUAUAAAAACUUGGGUCAGGCAAGUUUAACAUUAUUAUUAAUAUUCUAAAUAUUAUUAUUUUUAUUAUAAUUAAUAUUAUUAAUAUAAUAAUUAAUAAAUUUGAAAACAAAUAUUAUUAAUAUUGAAAAACAACCAUAGAUUUGAUUUGAAGAGUAAAAUUAAAAAUUAUUAUUAUUAUCAUCAUUAAUAAAUUUGAAAAACAAUAUUAUUACUAUCAAAGAAAAAUAAUAAAUUUUAUUUGAAGGGAUUAAAAACUAUAAAAACUUGGGCCAAAUAAAUUUAAUAUUAUUAUUAACAUUAUAAAUUUUAUUAAAUUCAUUAAUAUAUUAAAUUUGCAAUGAAUUUUAUUACUAUUUUAAAAAACAUAGAUUUGAUUUGAAGGGUAAAAUCAAUUAUUAUUAUUAUUAUCAUCUAUGCCAAGAAGAUGGUUAUAAGUAGGCUUUGGGUGCGGCUCUGCAGCCAGACCUAAAGAUAUUAGGUGAGGCUGCACACCCACACCCAUAUUUAUUAGGUGUUGCUCCGCAGCUACACCCAACUUUACACCCAAUAGAUAAACCUAAUUGGGCUGGGUCCUCCUGCCAACUUUUACACCCAACAGCAGGACCCAAUUGGGUUUGGUCCUGCUGCCAGCAGGAUCCAACAACUAUCAACGUUGGGUCAAGUACCCAGUAGGACCCAAAAGCUUUGGGUCUGGCGCAGCGAGACCCAUCGAUGAUGGGUUCUGCUGCCAAUUGAAUCUAUCAGCGUUGGGUCCUGCUAAUCGGCAGGGCCCAUAAGUUGUGAGCCUUUCUGUUAGGCCCAAUGCUAUUGGAUCUGGCUUGCGCUGGACCCAAGACACUUAAAAGAUUCUCUACAUUUGACAAAAAAAUUGUUAUUGACACGCUGCAGAACGCAGACUAAUAUGCUAGAUAUCAAACUAUAGCGUGUGUACUGGAUUCCUAUGGAAAUUAUUUUUUAUAUAAAAAUAUAAUAAAAUAAUAUUUUUUAUAAAUUAUAAAUUAUUUUUUUAUAUUAAAAUUUAAAAUGAUUAAAAAAUAAAAAAUUGUUUUGAAAAAAACAAUUCAUAUUCUAAAAAACACAGUUUAAAAGCUACUAGAUGCCAUGCCUGCGCGAUGUCGCGGGCUUGUGCAUUGUUGUGGGUUUGUGGAAAAAAUCAUAACAAAAAAAAAAAACCAUAUGGAGAAAAAUUGUUGCAAUCCACAACGUUUUCAAGGAAAAAACUACAAAGCUAAAUCUCAACCAGCUUAAUAUUAAAAAAAUAAAAUCGACAAAGAUAAUUUUUAAAAAAAUCAUAAGAAAAAAAAAACGAAAUGAAAAAAAAUCAUGCAGGGAAACACUAUAGCAAUCUAUAGUGUUCAAUGAGGAAAUCUACUGUUGUAAUUCUCAACCAGCUCAAUAUUAAAAAUAAUAAAAUCGAUAAAGAUUGUCAUAACCCAAUUCUGGGUUAUUCCCCAAAAUUCACUUUUUUUUCAAAAUAAAAAAAUAAAAAUAAAUAAAGGCUGGCAACGUGGAGAAAGCAAGCCGGGAAAUCAAGCUGCAAUUUUUGGAGGAAAUUCAAGGCCUAAUUGUACCCCAUUAUGCCCCAAAAUAUAGAAAAAAUGCAAAUUCAAGGUCAAAUUAAAUGAUUAUUGGAAGAAUUUGCAUAAAAAUUAAGUCCAAUGACAUAAUUAAAUUUUUAAUAGGCCAAUUUGAUUUAAUCAUGGGUCAAAUUAAAUUUUAAUUAUGUUUAAGAAUUAAUUUGGGUCAAAUUAAAGGAUUUAAUUAAGUGCAAGGACUUAAUUAUACUUUAAAUGGGUCAAAUUAAUUUUAUUUGGGGCUUAAUUGGUGAAAAAUUAAGUUUGGGAGCCUAAUUUAGACUUAAUUGAGAAGAUUGGAAUUUUAAGAGAAAAUUUAAUUUUUUCCAAGUUAAUUGAUUGAAAUUAGGGAUCAAAUUGCAAGAAAAUUAAAGUUUUGGGGUCAAUUAGGGGUUAAAUUGAAGAAAUCCGAGAACAGGGACCAAUAUGCAACAGGCGACAAACUAUGAGGAUUCAAUUGACAAAACCCAGGGGUGAAAUUGAAGAAAUUGAAAGUUUAAUGGUCAAUUAGGGGUUAAAUUGACAAAAUCCGAGACCAUGGACCAUAUUGUAAACGGCGCGUAACUUCGGGGUUCCAAUUAAAAUUAAGUAGGGGCUUAAUUGCAUUAAAUCCAAAGUUUAUAGCCAAUUAGGGGUUCAAUUGAAAGAAAUUGAAAGCUUGAGGACUAAAUUGAAAAUCAAUUUAAAUCCCUGGUAUAACCUAAAACGGCGCCGUUUUAUAUUAAAAAAAAAGAGGACCAGACGACGCGUCGUCUGGUCACUGUUCAUUGUCUUCUUCUUUCACAUGAAAAAAACUGCUUUGGAGCCUUACUUACAGGUUCAUUUAUUGCUUGAUUUCUCCAUCAAAUCAAACACAACUUGCACGAAACGGAUCCCCUACAGUUCCUCUACAACCCCAUGUGAACGUUGCAGGAUGAAUGACAACACGGCGUCACCGGGGACGGCGUGAAGAGGUCAAUGCAGGCAGCCUUUUUCCUGCAGAUUUGACAACUCAGGGAGGCUACUUUGAACCAACGGUUGGGAUCCUUCCCAACAUAAUCAAGGGCUGAAAUUUUUUCCCGGUAUAGACAAGAUUGCCCUCUUCCACCGCCUAUAAAUAGAGGCGGAGUUGAUGGCCUGAUGGAGGAGAAAAUCGAGUCCAAAGUUGACAAAAAAACCAGCCUCCUCCCCAGUUUUUUUUUUCUUUUUCUGCAACAAGUCUCUCUCUCUACACUCUCUCUCACCAUGCUCUCAGCGACUCCAAGCCACGCUGCCACCAGUUCGUCUUCCACCCUCUCCACCACACUUAUUCCUCUCCACCGAAAGCACCUUCUUUUUCCUCCACAACGACAGCAGCCCAUCAACACCAUCAUUUUCAUUUUCUUUCUUCUCCAGUAUCGGCAGCAGCAACACCGACUCCACCACAGACGCCGCCACCAGCUUCAGGGCGACUACUCGGACCACCUCCAACCUCACUCCAGGUCGGUGACAUCAACUGCUUCUCCCCCCGCAAGGUUGCCUCCCGCUCCACUCCGCGGGCUGCAACUGCAAAGUUGCAUAUAGAACGUGAACUUACUGUUCACGUUCUGCACAUAAUUCAUUUCACUUGGGUCAGGCCAGUUCUGGCCCAGACCAAAUGUUUGGGUCGGGUCCGGCCCCCAAAAAGGAGAGAAAGAAAGUAUGUUGGGCCGAUAUCGGCCCAAUCUUUUUGGGGCCUAUAUCGGCCCACUGUUUCUGGGUUUAUGUCUGGCCCAGUCAUCUGGGCCGGCCCAGCCCACCUGUUUUAAUAAUAUUUAUUUAAUAAAUAAUAUUAUAUUAUAUAUUUCUUUUAAAAAAAAAAACGAAAAAUUCCAAAAAAAUUUCAAAAAUCCUUUGAAAAAAAUUGUGAUUUUCUCAAAUAUUUUUUUUACCAAUUUUGCAUAAUAUUGGGUUGUAUAUUUACACUGUAAAAUACAAAUCAUGUAUUAAAAUACCUGGUUUUCUUUGAAAUAUUUCAAAAAAAAGAAAAUUAAAACAUUCUCAAAAAGAAAAAAUAUUUUAUUGCAUACGGCCAAAUCCUAAAAUUUUUCCAAGCAUAUUUUUCAUAUAAAAAAACGAAAACAAAAAUUGCAUCUUUUUGAUGUUUAAAAAAUCCAAAAAUGGAUAUCGUAACCAAUUUAUGAUUAUCCACUAGGAUUUGGUCAACAUGUCAAAAACCUUUUUCUAAUUUUUUUAGGGUCCAGAUGUAGACUUUAAUAUUUAUGGGUGUAAAAUUACACGAUAAAAUACACCCUCAAGUAUUAAAGAUACAAGGUGUAAAAAUACGAUGCUAAAAUUCAGACUUUAAAACUGUUAGGAUUUAACCCAAUAAGGUAGAGACUUUCUCAUGAAGAGAGAUUUGCCUUGAGCCUUAGAAAAGACCAACGAAUAGAAACCCAACUUGGAAAAAAACAAUCAAACAAUAAUGCAGCUUACCUUAAGUAGGGUGCAUUAGGGGUGAUGCAUCUUCCCCUUGCACAACCAGUCCCUUACUCAGACUCUCGCAGACCAUAGGUUCCUAGUGACCAUAAUACUAGGUGGUGACUCCUGAAUCUUAAUCAUAAUUUUAUGAUUAAAUCCAAAAAAAUCUUCCUAACACACAACACACCUCACAUAGGAGGCACGACAGAAAGCCUUCUUUGUCGCCAGACGACAUCGCACCGGCUCUUGCGCAUCCUGCGACAAAGAUAAUUUAAAAAAAAAACCAUAAUAAAAAAAUUAUGUGGGAAAAGACUGUAACAAUCCACAGUUAAAAAAAAAAAAAACUAAAUUUCUAACCAGCUUAAUAUAUAUAUAAAAAAAAAAAAAGUCUUCGGUGGCGAUUGAUAGCUAUGCGAUGAACUACUCAAAAUGCUAGAACAAUUGCAAAUCCCAGUUGCUAUGUAAUGGAACUUCCAGGCUAAGGCUCCUUUAAAUUACCUGCACGCCCGGCCUAGGAAAUUAUUAUUCUAAUUAUUCAACGACGACUUCAAGACUUGGCUGGCGUCGGGUGAUGACGAAGACAUUAUGACGUAGGUCUGCUGAAGUGGACCAAGUGUUCCAUGACAAUGCUGACUUCAGUUAUUUUUUAAUAUAUUUUUUUAAAAAUACAUCAAAAUAAUAUUUAUUAUUUUUUAAAAUUAAUUUUUGAUUUUAGUACAUUAAAAUAAUUUAAAAAUAUCAAAAAAAUAUAAAAUUUUUAAAAAACAUGAUUUAAUUGGAAAAAAAAAACAAAACCUCCUAGGGCUGUUUUAUUAUUAUCCUCGUUCCUCGAACUGUCUAAAUUAACAAGGAUACCCGCACUGCCUAAUUUCCCGGUCGUCAACGGUGGCGCCUCAUUCGAUAAUGGGGUAUCCUUUGGUAGGGCUGUUUUGUUUUAUUGUUAACUUUGUUUAGAAUUUUUCUUAUCAACCUGGUGGGGCCGGCCAUUGAGAAGUGGGUCUAGAAAAUUUGAUGCUGUCGAGAAAGGCCGUAGAUUCUAAACUUCGAUCUUAUCCAUGGAAUUAUAAAAAACAAUUAUUAAUUCAUGCACAUCAAAAAAGAUUCUAUAAGAUAAUAAUAAAGGCGAGGAGGUUGGCACAUACACGCGCGAGACCACGAAGCAACGUUGUUGGCUUUUGCUACCAGAAAAUGGAAAUCCAGUUAUACUUUACAGAUCAACUAAUGAUUUCACGAGAAUUAAGAAGGAAAGCAUUAAAUUUAUGGAAAUCUUUUCUUGGCAUGUGAGGGGAACGAGUCAGCAGUCUGGGUACAGUUGUUGGCUUUUGCUAACUUCUCCUGGCUAGCCAUUAAUCCUAUCCGUCUUUGGCCUCUCGUGAACAUGCGUUCUUUUUUAAAAAUAUUUUUUAUUUAAAAAUUAUUUUGGAUAUUAAUUUAUCAAAAUAAUCUGAAAAUAUUAAAAAAAAUUAAUUUUAAAAAAAUUAAAAUUAAAAUUUUAUUAAAAAUACUUUUAAAAUACAAAAACAAACACUAUAUAUAUAUAUAUAUAUAUAUAUAUAUAUAUAUAUAUAUAUAUAUAUAUAUAUAUAUAUGUUCUUCCACCAAAACAGGAUCCACCCUCUAGAACCCUUCAAAUAACUGCCAUGAACCCAAUUUCCACUUGCUCGAUUUCAUUUAUCAAGGACAUAUCAGUUACGAAAGAAAUGACAUUUCUAUUGGAUGGAUUUGUCUUGCUUAGCUCUGAGUUUAGAGUAAUGCUGCUUUCUUGAUUCUGAAAUCCGUCUCAACAGGUAAUGUGAGAAGGCAAAGAGGGGGGAAGAAGACUAUCCAGUUGCUUGGAUUGGACACUCUUGUUCCUUUUACGGUGGAGAUAGAAAGGUUUCAUAGUAUAAUGUUGCUUAAGUCACAAUCAGCCCUCUUUUUUUUUUAAUCUGCAAAACAAUUACAGGAAUAUUUGCACCAGAGGUGAAGCUGCUGCUGCUUCAUCCAGCCAGAAAGAAACAAAGAGAGUGGCACAAUGGAACCAUGCAUGCCACCUCUUCCCAAUUUUUUGACAGGACUGAUAAGCAUUUUCCUCUACGAAUGACGAAAACCUCAUAACAAGUGAUGGAGAUUUGAGAACAACAAGCAACCAUGGAUUCCCAAGUUUCAAAUGGGUCACAGGAUUCACAUAAACUUAGCCAAUCCGGUUAUUUAUUUUUGGUAUCGAAAUACAGGACAUGAAAAUCCUUCAGCAACACACCUCUUAAUUACAUAUCAAUAACAGGAAAGACAUCCACAUCUUCACACACAUGCAACAAACACCUUACAUCGCACGCUUCUUAUAGCAGAAAGCCCAUAAAACCAGAUACAAAGAGCGCUUGCCCGCUUAAGCUCUGCGGCACACAUCUCCAUCGCAGUUCCAUCCUUCCUUUCCCUUUGCCUUCUCCUCAAGCUCCUCCUCCAUUUGCUUUAGAUGUUCCUCGGUAAAUGGAAAAGCAUCUGCCCCGUAAGCUGUCAAGUGCAUCCGAGCUUCCUUGGUAAUGGUCCGGCCACUUGGGCCAAUCGCUACAGCUGCAGGAAUGCCUUGAAUUUUGAAUUUCCGACUCAGGAUUUGUUUCCUUUCAUCACCAAAUGGAAGGGCUAACCAAGGCAUUUCUGAAUAGAACUCGUCAAAGGUGGAUUGAUCUCUGUCGCUUGAGAUGAAGAUCACCUCAAAUGCGUUGUCUUUUCUUUUAAUUGUGUGGUAUGCUUCAAUUAGCUUGGGUAAAAAGGCACGACAAGGAGGGCACCAUUGAGCUGAGAAGUAAAGAAGAAUGUUCUUUCCAACUAGAUCGGACACUGGGACCUAAUCAAAGAGUAAACCAUUUGAAUGAUAAAAAAAACCUUUGCUAAUGAAUUCAAUUCGUGAUAAUAAGAAAGUUAUUGAAAGUAAUGCAAUAACAACAUGCGAGGUUAGCAUAGAACAAAAAAAAUUACCUUGGAGCCACUUUUGCCAAUCACAAAAUCAUUUUCCCCAUUAACCAAAACUGACUCAAGCGUCUGCGAUUCCAGUUUUGCCUUUUCAAUUGCAGCUAGCUCGUCAAGCUUUUCCGGUGUAAAUGGGUAGGCUUCGAUACCAUGUUCUUCGAUUAGUUCAGCUACAUUUGGGUUCAAAGUCUUCCCAUCUUGGCCAAUUAUAACAAGAUUAGGAAUGGUUCUAAGUUCAAAAUACCGCACUAGCUUCUCGCAGCUCUUGUCCUUCAAUGGCAAUGCCAACCAAGGCAUUGUCUCAAAACUCUCUUUGAAGUCUUCUUCUUCGUCGUCUAGAGAUAGUAGGACUACUUCAAAGUUCUCUCCUUUUUCCUUGAGCGUCUUAUACAAUUCCACUAGUUUAGGAGUGAAUUCACCGCACAUCCUAUGAGCAUGGACUGAAAAAUACAAGCCAACCAAUUUUCCUUCAAGGUCCGACACAGGGAUCUGCCAUUACAGAUAGCAAAAAUGUGAAUUAUGGCAUCAUCAAUUCAAUUUCAAAACUAGCUAAUUGAAUGAACCAUCUACCUUUUUUCCAUCAUUUGAAAUCACAUAAUCACGUGAGCUUGAAACCAAGAUAGAGCUUAUGGUUUGAUUCUUCUUAGCAUUCUCUUUAAGGAAAUUCAGUCUAUCAAGGUUGAACGGAUACCCAUCCACGCCAUGUUCCUUGACAGUGCUGACUCCAUUAUUAUCGCAGGAAACCUUACCAUUAGUAUCAAAAAUGACAAGUCUAGGGAUCCCUCUUACUUUGAACACUUCCUUAAGACGUUGGCGGGUCUCGGUUUCAGAGAAGGGAAUAGCAAGCCAUGGCAUUUCGGAGAAGUACGUGUUGAAGGAUUCAUCGUCUCCAUCAGAAGAAAUGAAGACCACCUCAAAGUCCCCUUUGGAUGAUAGGUGUUCAUAGACUUCUACCAACAAUGGAGUGAAAUUACGGCAUGGGCCGCACCACGAACCAGAGAAAUAGAAUCCCACAAUCUUCCCAACCAAAUCGCUGACCUUGACCUAAAAAUUAAUGUCGAACAUUAUCAGAAAAAAACAUCAGCCCUUGACGAAUCAAAAUCUUAUUCAUGGUUUCUUUCUCUUGCCAGUGAGAAGCAACAAAAAAAAGAGCCUUUUCUUAAUCAUAAAAGCUUCACAAAUUGGUCAUAAAUUUGUUCUUCAGCAAGGCUUGCAGUCUAAUUUAAACAUGAUAUUCAUCUUAAUUACUAGAAAAACCUACAAGUUCAUAUAAAAAAAGACGUCAACUUAUAAUAAGACAAGAAGAAGUAGAAUUGAAUAAGAUCAGAUCGAGGAACUCAUAUGCUAAAAGCAGUACCUGAUCACCAUUGUUGCGGAUGAGAAAGUCCCUCUCUUCUGAAGAAAGAAGCGUUGAAAGGUCGAGGGAAACGUCUUCGGUGGCCAUAGUUAGCUAUGUGAUGAACUACUCAAAAGGCUAGAACAAUUGCCAAUCCCAGUUGCUAUGUAAUGGAACUUCCAGGCUAAGGCUCCUUUAAAUUACCUACACGCCCGGCCUAGGAAAUUAUUGUUCUAAUAAUUCAACGACGACUUCAAGACUUGGCUGGCGUCGGGUGAUGACGAAGACAUUAUGACGUAGGUCUGCUGAAGUUGUUGGUAUUAGCAUUAUCACGGGCUUUUACAACUCUCCUCUUGCUUUUUUUUUUUUUUUAAUCUCUUUUUUUUUGUUUUUGUUUGUAUUCUAGUUUUAUCCAUGGUUUGAUAAAAAUUUUUGUGAGUUUGUUAUUAAAUGUAUUUUGUGUUUUAUCUUUUUAAUAAAAUCUUUAUAUUUCUUGAUACAAAAAAAUCCUUAAUUGGUUUUUUUAAUUAAAAAAUUAUUCUCUUUUGUUUUUGAUGCAUUUGAAAAUGAAUUUUUCUAUCAAUUUUUUUUUCUAAUAUAAAUCAAUAAUCAUAUGUAAAGCAUAGUUGAAAUGAACGAACGAACAAACAAACUAUAUACAUGACAUCUUACAUAGGAAGCUUAGGAAAGGGUGAAGGCCAAGAAUAAUGUAAAAUAAAACCUAUGACUCCACUACCAAUAAUGUAAAAAUAAUUAUUGAGAAAAAUAAAUCAUAAAAAUAUACUUCCAGCUCCAGUCAUCCAAAGCUUCUUAAGUCUCAGAAAAAAAAAACAUUUAACACAAACCUCAAUAAAAUUCAUAUGCUAAUUAAAUUCAGAUUUUUGUAACGUAGUCUAUUUUCUAUCAAAUGUGACUUGAUAAUAAUCACAUGCAAUUUAAUAGACAGGCUAAAAUCCAAACUUGAUAUAGUUCUUGGGUUAUAAUAGAGUUUUUCAAUAAUAAAACUCUUAACUUCUUUUUUUUAAAAAAAUAAUGAUAUUGCAUAUAUUUAAUAAUUAUAAAUAAAAUUAUAUUGUGUAUUUGAGCCAUGUCAGGACUCUAUUUCAAUAAAGAGACCCUAUAUUUUCAGGGGAGAAAAAAAGAGUUUUUAAAUGCAAUACUUUGUCAUAAGUCGUGACUUUUCCACACUCAAAAGGGCACCAUACAUAUAUGUCAUUAUACUUUAUCUCCAAACGUAAUUAAAUUAGUCAAUUAAUUGUAAGUGAGGGAAGUUAAUGAAUUUCCACUCUAAUUAAAAUGUUCAAAUUCAUUAUUCGCUUUCAACUUUAUCCUGAUUAAAUCAGGUUAAGUAGAUGACUUUCUUCAUUCGCGGGUAUCCACCAGAUAUCCUAAUCUAUUUUUUAAUUAAUUUUAUAAAAAUCAAACCCAAAUUUAAAAAAAAAAAUCCUUUAUUUAUGAAUCGUAAAACUAUGAAAUUAAAUUAAAUAUAAAACCAAGAGAUCUGGUUAGUUUAGUGUUGUUGCAAUGUGGACAAAAACUCAAAAUAUCACGGAUUGAAAUAGUGUUGUUUGUUUUUAAAAACAUUUUCAUUAUAGUCACCAAACACUUUUUAAAAUUUCUUUUAUCUUUGAAAUUUCAUUAUAAUAAUCAAUUACACCCAGUCUUUCACUGUAUAUGGGAACGAAAAUCAGCAUUUUUUUUUGUACAACUUUCUUUUCAUAACGUAAAGUAAAUCCAUCUCUUCAAUCCGAUCAAGUUGACGACAAAAUGCAAAAGAACAAAACAUAGCAUUAGCAUCCAAGUUGAUUUGUUUGGAAUUACAAGUAGAUGUGAGAAUGUGGGGUCAUUUCUUGAUUGGGAUAUUUCAGGGAAAAGGAAAAUAAUUAGAAAAAACAGUGGUGUGCUAAGAUGAAGAUGGAGGCUAGGAGCACUUACCGGUGCGAAGGAGAGACACGAAGGCCUAAAAUGUAAGCAACUUUGGUGUAAACAGGGACGGGUUUGGAAAGGUCAUUAUUAUUGAUGACAUUGUAGGAGUAGUUGUUUUUCACAGUUCUUGAAAGCUUUUUGCCACGUGUAACGGUUUUGAUGCAACCUCUUAUCAUCCCCACUAUCUCUUCACCUAUCCCCAAUGCUGUUUUUUUUUUUUUGAAAAAUUAAAUGUCAUUAUAUUAGAGUGAUGUUCAAAAUAGAAUCUUAUUUUAUUGCAUAAAAAAAUUUAAGACUUUAAGACGGGGGUUGACAGUUAGCAAUAUCAAAGAACCAUCUUAACCCAAUAGCUUAAGCUUUCAAGUGACGUCCCAAGAUAUGAUUUAUAGUAUUCUCUAACACACCCCCUCAAGUAAAAGCUCUUUGGGCUUGAAACUUGCACAGACCCACAUUACCUUGUGCUUAAUUUUUAUCAAAUAAAUAGGGAUGGUGAGAUUCGAACUCGUGACCGCUUGAUUAUCAAGGCUCUGAUACCAUGUCAAUGAACCAUCUCAACCCAAUAGCUUAAGCUUUCAUGUGAGGUCCCAGAAUAUGAUUUAUAUUAUUCUCUAACGAGUAAGAAUUUAAGGUUUUUUUAUUUGAUAAAUGUUCAUUUAACAUCAUUUUACUUUGAAAAAUUUAUGUUUUGAUACAAAACUCUAUUUUAAUCACAUUUCAGAUUAUAAGUUUUAGAAAAAAGAAAAAAAUUCAUUAAAAAUAGCGAAAGAGAGAGAAACACAUACACUGACAAGGUUUUGUUUGUGAAAAUAGCUUAAAUGUGUGUCAAUAUGUUAUUCUUGACAAGAAGAGUGCUACUAUAAUGUUUUUAAGCUUUAUAUUGUCAAAAAAGAUAAAUCGAGGUUGAAAGAGUUAUUUUUAAGUUAAACUUUGUGUUUUAAAAUUAUUUUAGAGUUUCUUUUUAGUUGAUGGAUUAGUUUAGAGGCAAUUUAAAAGUAUUUAUAAGAUGUUUUUAGAUAAAAACAUAUUAAAAAAUAGAAUUUUAAAUAAAAAACUCCAACCCAAUUCUUUAACCACUUCUCUAUUAUAUAAAAAAAAAAUAAAGCAAAUGAUGCGACAAAAAAAUAAAUCAAGCAAAUGAUUGUCAUUUGUUUUAUAAAAAAAAUAAAAUAAAGGACAAAUACUAUGUCAUCCAUCAAAGAAAAAAUAAAAUGGCUCUCAUCUUUUGGAUAAGCAUGCCGAGUCACUUGGCCCCACAAACAUGGCUUGUUUUUAGCUUCUCUUUUUUUUUUUUUAUGAAUCUUUAUCCUUGAGUUUUAAUUUUAUUUCAUUAAAAUUAAUUAUUUAAAAACACAUAAGGAUAUUAUUUUAGUAAAUACUUAAAUUAUUAAGAAUAUAUACGAAAUAUUAUUUUAUUAGAUAUCAUUUAAUUUUUAUUUUAUUUUAAAAUAAAAUUAUAAUGUUUUUUUUAUAAUAUUAGUAAGAGAUUUUUUUGGACUGAUAUUUCUUAUCUUCGCAUAUUCGCUGUCAAAGACUAUAAUAAUAGAUUCCAUGGAAAACAUUAAGGGUGUGAUUCAACUACUAAAUGAUAAUCGACUAAAAGAGUGUUUGGAGUCCACCCGUAUUUUUAAAAUAUUUUAAUUUUUUUAAUAAAAAUUAAUAUUUUUUUAUAUUUUGGAUUGUUUUAAUGCAUUAAUUUUAAAAAUAAUUUUUAAAAAAUAAAAAAAUAUUAUUUUGAUACAUUUCAGAAUGAAAAACACUUUGAAAAGCAAUCAUAACCACGCUCCCAAACAAGACAUGUUUAAAAAUGUGAUAGAAGUUGAGUUUUAAAAUAUUUUUUACUCAGAAAUAUAUUAAAAUAUAUAUUUUUUAAUUUUAAAAAAUUUAUUUUUGAUAUCAAUAUAAUAAAACAAUUCAACAAUACUAAAAAAAAAAAUUAAAUUUUAAACAAAUAAUAUUUUGCUUCAUUGAGCUAUAAACAAAAUAAUCAAAUUUUUAAUCUAUUUGUCACAUCAUGAAACAUGAUGAUCAUUAAUUAGCAAACACCACCAUGUAGGAAUCACAUGUGACACUUUAAAUUCAUCAUACCAAAUUGAUCAAAUUAUAACGUAAUCCCUAUAUUUUUAAGAAAUUAAUAGCUCACUCCCUUUAUUUAAAAGAAGCCAUAUUUUACCUCCCAUGUUAUCAUUUCCAUUUACUAUAACUUAGUUCUUCCUUUAGUUUUACAUUAUAAAAGUGCUAAACCAUUACUUUAGGUAUUAGUACAAAAAAAGUAUAUAUUAACGGAUUGACGGUCAAACCUUCUCAAUUGAGUAACUUUUUUUAUUUUUUUUUAUUAACAUGGGUAUUCGGGACAGUUUACGCGCAUCUUGACUAAUCCCAUAAACUCUGAAGUUAAUAAUCAUGUAAGCCUCCAGUAACUAUUAUAUUAGCAACCACAAGAUUUGAACCUGAGACCACAGGGAGAGUAAACCCCUUGGUCACCUACUAGAUGAUUAACUUUUUUUUUUAAAAAAAAACAGAAGGACUAACAUAUUGGUUUAUUGAGAAUACGAGGAUUCAAUUAUAAUUUACUUCAGGAAACAAAUAUGAUGCUAUUGACAUCCCCACAAGUGAACUGGCACAAUUAUUGUUUAUAUAAAAUUUCAAAAUGAUUUAUUCUUAAUUUUAACAUUUUAUUUUUAAAAUUUUAUUGUAAUGAAGUGACAGAGUAUGCUAAGAGUAUACCAAAAUAAAACACUGUUGUUUUAAUAUAAAAAUUAAUUUACAGGUUGACUGGAUAGCCUUAUAACCUAGAUGUUUUUCGAAGUUAGUUUUGAAUGAAUGGAGUGUUAUUAGUUAGUUCAGCGUGAUAAUUGGACUGAAAAUCUUUCGUUCUAAAUUAUCAACCAUUCAGAAUUGUUUUGUGCGUGAGGAUGCCAAAUUACCAAAACUAAACCCUAUUUAUAAUCCAUCACCUAUCAAUAGUGAUGUAAGAGUUCCAGCUUGUUUUCUGCAGCUGUGCCAAAACCUGGAGGGUCUAUACUAGCCCAGCAGUCCUUCCCCCGUCGUAAGGUAAGAGCCCAGCACCAGCAGUGUCCUUCCUCCGUCGUAGAGGGGUCCAUACACGAGAUGGCCAGAGAUAGUAAGUGAUUUCGAAAUAUUACAUUUCAGAUUAAGGUUGUCAAUUCCGUUCCGUUUCGCCCGGAAUGACCGAAACAUUCUAUACCAAUUCAAAAAACGAAACAAAACGGAACAAAUUUCAUCUCAUUUUAAAUCUCGGUCCGUUCCGGAUUUUUCGGCUAAAUUCCACCCGGAACGUUCCUGUUUCAUUCCACAUGUUCCGUUCCGCUCUUGAAAAGUCAUUGAAUCAAAUUGAACCUUGUUCAAUUUAAUUAAUUAAACCACCCAAUUAUAAAAAGUUUUUUUUCAUUAUAAUUUUCAAUAACAAUGAUAUUAAUAAUAAUAUUGAAAAUUAUUAUUACUAUUUUCAUUAACAAUGAUAUUAAUUUUUUAAAAUUAGAUUUAUCACUAAUAUAUAUGGUUUAUAUUCAUGUUGUUUUUUUCAUGUUUAUACUUUGUAGGAAUUUGAGCAAAAUAAAGGAUGCUUUAGAUUUCAUUAGCCUUGAUAAUAUUAACCUAGCUUUAUAUUUAAAAUAUUUGUGUUAAAACAUUUUAUUUUCAUAAUAUUUUGAUAUUUUGUUUAAGUUGAAUUACUUUAAGUUAAAGAUCUAUUUAAUCUUGACUAUUUAGAAAUAUUUUAAAUUUUAAAAUUAUAUUUGUUUGGCAUUGUGUUUGUAUUGCAUAAUUUAUAAUUAAUUUAUCUUGAAUUUGAAUUAUGUUUGUUGAAUAUAUAUAUAUAUAUAUAUAUAUGAACAGUACAACCCCGAAACGGCACGCCGAAACACUCCGAAACUGAAACAUUCCAUUCCAAUUGAAAAACGAAACAUCUAUCAAAACAGAAUUGACAACCUUGUUUCAGACUGCAACAAAUGAUAAGGUUUUGUGGCUGUCAUGGCGAAGGCAAAUUAAAGCACAUGAGAUUCAGUGGUGAGAAGCUAUGGAAAGUGGCAAAAAGAAACUGCGAGAACAUGAAACACGCAUUUGAACAUGAAAAAGUAAAUAAGCUGAACAUAAUUAAUGGGCCAUAGAAGCGAAGGUUUUUUCAAUGGCUUCAAACUUUUUGGCAGCGUGCUUGAUUGUUGUCGCCGAAUUUCUUGGCAGUGUGCUUGCUUGAAUUGCGGAUGUAUCACAUGGAUGAUAUUUUCGUUCUUUCGAGGCAUCAAAUAAUAUGGUGUCACGAGAAUUAAGCAAAUAGAAAAGCAUUAAAUUUACGGAAAUCUUUUCCUGUGGUCUUGGUGUAGUUGUUGGCUUUGCUAACUUCUACAAUCAAAUAAUAUGAAUGAAGCUGGUUCUUCAUCCAGCCAAAUAGAAACAAAGAGAGCGGCACAAUGGCAUCAUGCAUAGCAUUUUCCUUUAGGAAUGACAAAAACCUCAUAUCAAGUGAUUGAGCUAUGAGAACAACCAUCAACCAUGGAUUCCCAAGUUUCAAAUGGGUCACAGGAUUCACAAAAACACACAGAGCUGUUUAUUUAUUUUUCGUAUCCAAAUACAGGACAUGAAAACCCUUCAGCUUCACACUUCUUAGAUACAUAACGAUAACAGGAGAGACAUCCCCACUAUAUUCACACACAUGCAACAAACAUCUUCCAUUGCAUACUUACUACAGCAGAAAGCCCAUAAAACCCGACACAAGCAGCGCUUGCCUGCUUAAGCUCUGCGGCACACAUCUCCAUCGCAGACCCUUCCUUCCUUUCCCUUUUCACUUCCAGUAUCUUCAUCUUCCUUCAAAGCACACUUAGGGUGAAGAUCAAAGUCACAUUGUUUGCAAAAGAAAGACCACCUAUAUCCCGUUUCCCCACAGCCAUCGCAACCGUAUGCACUGCGUUUAGUACGUAUCAGCUCAUGCUCAGUAUGUAGUUCGUGUUUCACUUUCUCUGGCCACCCCUUCGCCUUUUCCUCAAGCUCCUCCUCCAAUUGCUUUAGAUGUUCCUCGGUAAAUGGAAAAGCAUCUGCCCCGUAAGCUGUCAAGUGCAUCCGAGCUUCCUUGGUAACGGUCCGGCCACUUGGGCCAAUCGCUAAAGCUGCAGGAAUGCCUUGAAUUUUGAAUUUCCGACUCAGGAUUUGUUUCCUUCCAUCACCAAAUGGAAGGGCUAACCAAGGCAUUUCUGAAUAGAACUCGUCAAAGGUGGAUUGAUCUCUGUCGCUUGAGAUGAAGAUCACCUCAAAUGCGUUGUCUUUUCUUUUAAUUGUGUGGUAUGCUUCAAUUAGCUUGGGUAAAAAGGCACGACAUGGAGGGCACCAAUGAGCUGAGAAGUAAAGAAGAAUGUUCUUUCCAACUAGAUCGGACACUGGGACCUAAUCAAGAGCAAACCAUUUGAAUGAUAUAAAAAACCUUUGCUAAUGAAUUCAAUUCGUGAUCAUAAGAAAGUUAUUGAAAGUAAUGCAAUAACAUGCGAGGUUAGCAUAGAACAAAAAACAUUACCUUGGAGCCACUUUUGUCAAUCAAAAAAUCAUUUUCCCCAUUAACCAAAACUGACUCAAGCGUCUGCGAUUCCAGUUUUGCCUUUUCAAUUGCAGCUAGCUCGUCAAGCUUUUCCGGUGUAAAUGGGUAGGCUUCAAUACCAUGUUCUUCGAUUAGUUCAGCUACAUUUGGGUUCAAAGUCUUCCCAUCUUGGCCAAUUAUGACAAGAUUAGGAAUGGUUCUAAGUUCAAAAUACCGCACUAGCUUCUCGCAGCUCUUGUCCUUAAAAGGCAAUGCCAACCAAGGCAUUGUCUCAAAACUCUCUUUGAAGUCUUCUUCUUCGUCGUCUAGAGAUAGUAGGACUACUUCAAAGUUCUCUCUUUUUUCCUUGAGCGUCUUAUACAGUUCCACUAGUUUAGGAGUGAAUUCACGGCACAUCCUAUGAGCAUGGGCUGAAAAAUACAAGCCAACCAAUUUUCCUUCAAGGUCCGACACAGGGAUCUGCCAUUACAGAUAGCAAAAAUGUGAAUUAUGGCAUCAUCAAUUCAAUUUCAAAACUAGCUAAUUGAAUGAACCAUCUACCUUUUUUCCAUCAUUUGAAAUCACAUAAUCACGUGAGCUUGAAACCAAGAUAGAGCUUAUGGUUUGAUUCUUCUUAGCAUUCUCUUCUUGCUCUUUAAGGAAAUUCAGUCUAUCAAGGUUGAACGGAUACCCAUCCACGCCAUGUUCCUUGACAUGUCUGACUCCAUUAUCGCAGGAAACCUUACCAUUAGUAUCAAAAAUAACAAGUUUAGGGAUCCCUCUUACUUUGAACACUUCCUUAAGACGUUGGCGGGUCUCCGUAUCAGGGAAGGGAAUAGCAAGCCAAGGCAUUUCGGAGAAGUAUGUGUUGAAGGAUUCAUCGUCUCCGUCAGAAGAAACGAAGACGACCUCAAAGUCCCCUUUGGAUGAUAGUUGUUCAUAGACUUCUACCAACAAUGGAGUGAAAUUACGGCAUGGGCCGCACCACGAACCAGAGAAAUAGAAUCCCACAAUCUUCCCAACCAAAUUGCUGAACUUAACCUAAAAAUUAGUGUCGAGCAUAAUCAGAAAAAAAAAAAAAACAUUAGCCCAUAAAUUAAGAGGGUAAACAAAAACUGAGGCUUUUCUUAAUCAUAAAAGCUCUAGAAAUUGGUCAUAAACUUGUUCUUCAGCAAGGGUCGCACUCUAAUUUAAACAUGAUAUCCAUCUUAAUUACGAGAAAAAGUUUAAUAAGACAAGUAGAAGUAGAUCGCAUAAGACCAGAGAAAUCCAUAAGCUAAAAGCAGUACCUGGUCACCAUUGUUGCGGAUGAGAAAGUCCCUCUCUUCCGACGAAAGAAGGGAUGAAAGGUCGUGCGAAACGUCUUCGUUGGCCAUUGUUAAGUGAUGAACUACUCAAAAUGCUAUAACAAUUGCCGAUUCCAAACGCUAUUUAUUGGGACAAACUGGGAUGGUUCCUUUUAAGUUACUUGCACAGCACGCCUAGGGAAUUAUCAUACGUCAACGAUGACAUGUAAAUUUGGAUGGUGAUGCCAAAUUAAAACAUCAUUCUCCUUAUCUAAAUACCAUAGUUAUUAAACCCGGCCCGGGGGUUGACCCGGCCAAGGGACCGGGUCCCGGGUUUCAUGGGUCAACCCGGGUCAACCCGGAUUAACCCGGAAAAAUUAAAAAAAAUUAAAGUUUUAAUAUUUCAUAUGAAAAAAUCUAUGUAAAUAUAGAUUAUACAUAUUAUGAAGUUUAAAAUAAUAUUUUAAAAAGUUUUUUAUCCCACAUUGAAAAAACAUAACUUUUUUCUUAGAAACAUAGAGUAUAUAUACUAAUGAGUUUCAAAUCCCACAUUGAAAAGAUAAUAUAUUAUCCUUUUAAGUUGAAGUAUUUAAACCAAAAGGUUUUUUAUCCCACAUUGAAAAAACAUGAUUUUUUUCUUGGGAACAUAGAGUAUAUAUAUUAAUGGGUUUCAAAUCCCACAUUGAAAAAACAUGGUUUUUUUUUCAUGGGAACAUAGUGUAUAUAUAUGAAAGGGUUUCAAAUCCCACAUUGAAAAGAUAUCAUGUUAUCCUUUUAAGUUGAAGUAUUUAAACCAAAAAGUUUUUUAUCCCACAUUGAAAAAACAUGGUUUUUUUCAUGGGAACAUAGUGUAUAUAUAUGAAAGGGUUUCAAAUCCCACAUUGAAAAGAUACCAUGUUAUCCUUUUAAGUUGAAGUAUUUAAACCAAAAGGUUUUUUAUCCCACAUUGAAAAAACAUGAUUUUUUUCAUGGGAACAUAGUGUAUAUAUAUGAAAGGGUUUCAAAUCCCACAUUGGAAAGAUACUAUGUUAUUUUUUUAAGUUGAAGUAUUUAAACCAAAAGGUUUUUUAUCCCACAUUGAAAAAACAUGGUUUUUUUCAUGGGAACAUAGUGUAUAUAUAUGAAAGGGUUUCAAAUCCCACAUUGGAAAGAUACUAUGUUAUCCUUUUAAGUUGAAGUAUUUAAACCAAAAGGUUUUUUAUCCCACAUUGAAAAAACAUGAUUUUUUUCAUGGGAACAUAGUGUAUAUAUAUGAAAGGGCUUCAAAUCUCACAUUGAAAAGAUACUAUGUUAUCCUUUUAAGUUGAAAUAUUUAAACCAAAAGAUUUUUAUCCCACAUUGAAAAAACAUGGUUUUUUUCAUGGAAACAUAGAGUAUAUAUACUAAUGGGUUUCAAAUCCCACAUUUGAAAAAAAAAAAAAAAAAAAAAACCCGGGUCUCGUCCGGGUCACCCGGGUUCCGGGUUGACCCGCCGGGUCGCCCGGGUUUGGCCGGGCUGUUGCCACAGCCGGUCUUUUAUUAAACCCGGCCCGGUCCAGCCACCGGGUCGACCGGGUCCCGGGUCGACCCGCCGGGCCGGGCCGGGUUUAAUAACUAUGCUAAAUACCAGUAGGUUCGAGAAACUGGUAUUAAACAUGCUUUCCCACGUGCUUUUACACACCUCCUUUUGCUUUUUUGUUUAAAAAAGAAAAAGAAAAAGAAAAAAACAUAUUUUUUUUUUUUUAAUUUCUCUCUCUUUUGUUUUAUCCUUAUUUCUUUUCCUUUAAAGAUUCAUACAGUCACCCAGUCACUCUUCACUUUUUACCUUAUUAGUUUAUACAGCUGGGUCAGGCAAGGAUUUAGUCUAGCAGCCAUAACAUUGGGUCUCAUAUAGUUGCUUGUCUAAGCAUCUUGGAUCAUCAGGCAUGGAUUAGGUGUAACAGGCAAGCCAGUUCCAAUUCAUGGGUAUGGUAUAAUUACCCUCAUAAUUAUCACAUUGAGCUUGCCUCUGCAGGUCAACCAAAGAUCCGGGUAAUCUAGGACCUUAGUUAGGUAUAUUUAAUUUAAAAUUCAGGUCUGUAAUUGGCCUAAAUAAAACCGGUCAUCUUGUUAGGUUAACUCGGAAUUUGAUUGACCCAGUAAAACUCAAUAGAUACCUGUUUUUUUAAAAUAUAUUUUUUCUCUUAACUAGAGAUCCUUUUCUUUCAUAUUUUUUAGUUGGUUAUAACUUAUUUCAAAGUUCACUAUAUAAAUACUAGAAGAAUGUUUUUAUUUUUUUAAUGUGAGAUUUGAAGCACUGUAGUAUAUAUACUCUAUGUUUACAAGAAAAAAGUUAUGUUUUUUCAAUGUGGGAUAAAAAACCUUUUUGAUUUAAAUACUUCAACUUAAAAUAAUAUGAUAAUAUCUUUUAAAUGUGAGAUAAAAAAUCUUUUAAAAUAAUCUUUUAAAUUUAAUUAUUUACAACAUGUAUAGCCUAUAUCCACACAGAUUGUUUCUUAAUUUUUUUCAUAUGAAAUAUUAAAACCUCAUAUAUUUUUUUAAAAUUUUUCCAAGUUGACCCAGGUCAACCCGUGAAAUCCGGGUCUCGGCUCCUGGGCCGGGUUUGAUAACUAUGGGUGCAAUAAAAAUAUAACUUUAAAGAAUGCAAUUAAAAAAAAUAAAGUGACGUGACCGGUUAAAAAAAUAAAAACUAAAAAAAUGUACAGAACCUCAUUUUUAUUUUUAUUUUUGCUCAGGGAGCCUCUUUUAAAUAAUAUUGAUUUUUUUUGUUAUGUGUUUAAUUUUCGGAGUGGUUUUUUUGGUUCAUCUAUGGUUUUGUUUUUAUUUUUUAUAUAGAUAAAAUAUGUUUUUGAAAAUAAAAAAUGUUUAAAUUUAGAUGAUAUUUUUAAUGUGUGUAGUUUUACAUGUUAUUCUUUUUUUUUAUUCAAUCAAUUUAAUGUAUUAUUUUUCACGAUUCAAUAUAUUAAUCUACAUUUAUCUCUCGAUUUUUUAAGUUUUGUUUUUAGAUGUCAUAAAUAAUUUUUUAUUGAUUUAUUAGUGCACAUAAUUCUUAGUUUAUUUGAUUACUUAUGUGCAUCAACAUUUUGAUUUGUUAUAGUUUUUGAACUAUCAAAAUACAUUGAAAAAACCUGUAUAAAUAUUUUUUUAUAAAAAUAAAAAUAUUUAACUUACAGUAAAGCGGGACACGUAGCUAAUAAAUUCUAUUAAAUGAGUUAGCAAGGUAGAAAACAAACUUGUAAUAGAUUUGUGCACAUUGUCAUUUCACCAUAAGUUACAUUAGCUCUCAAAACUUUUACGUAGAAACUUAUAAUACUAGAACUAACCAAACAUACUACCAGAAAUGUACUAAUCUUGCAACAAAAUAAGAAUCAACACAUCAAAUUUCCUUAGUGCCUUUGAAACAUAAAAUGUAAAUUAUUAGGGCACAAUUAAUAAUAACUUAUAGGUAAUAAUUAAUCUUCAUCAAAUAUGCUAAAUAACAUAAAUCAACUUUGUCAAACAUAAUUAUUGUGAACAUUGAUAUUUUUUUUAGCCCUGUUUGUUUCAUGAAAAAUGGUUUUUUAGAAAUUAUUUUCCAAACUUUUCUGUGUUUAUUUGUCAUUAGAAAAAUUAAUCAACAAAAAAAACUUUCCAAUCAAAGAAAAAUUUAACUUUGUUUCUAGAAAAGUGUUUUUCUUUUAUUUUGGGUGGAAAACACUUUCUAGAAGUUGUGAAAAAUUUAGAAAUGUCUUGUUAUUUGCUGAUUAUAUCAAAUUUGAUCCUCAAACUUUUAAUUGUUAUAUAUUUUGUUUUGAUUUUUUUCUUUCAAUUUCAUCAUUUAGAAUUUGAUUUAAUUUGAUUUUUAUAUCAAUUUUGGUCUUUAUUUUUAUUAUUGUUAUUUGCUUUUCUCUUGUCAUUUUCUUAAUUGAAAUUUUUUUAUCUAUCAAAUCUAGUCCUUAUUUUUUUUAUUGUUAUUUAUUUUAUUUGAAAUAAUUUAUAAAAUUAUAUAUUUUUUUAAUUUCAUCAUCUUUCAAUGUUUUUAUUUGUUAGAUUUGAUCUCUAUUAUUUUGAUUGUUAUUUAUUUUAUUUGAGAUAAUUUAUGAAAUUAGAUUUUUUUAAUUUUAUUAUCAUUUAAAUUUUUAAUUUGUAAUAUUUGUUCCUUAUUAUUUUAAUAAACUUAAAAAAAAAUAAUUUAUUUUCCAGCUCAUUUUGCAUGAUAUAGUUAAAUACUAGAAAAUGUUUUUAAAUUUUUUUGUUUUAUGAUACUAUCAAAAAUCAAAAAAAUAAUUUACUUUUUAAAAAUUUAAUUUUCAAGAAAAUUACCUUUUUUAAAAAAAUAUAUGUUUUUAGCAAAGAAAGGGGUUAAUGUUAAAUUUUUUUAUAUAUGACAUGGGGGCAGAGUGCAAGCCAGCUAGCCGGAUAGUCUUUGGUGGAUGUUCUUUAUACGAUUUUUUUUAGAUGGAAAUCUGAGCUUUAUUGACCAUGUAUGUCUUGCCAAGUGGCUUCUUUUCUUUCCUUAACUGUCAUGUCUCAUUUGAUAAUUGGGAAUUCCUGUCAGGGCUUCUUUAUUUUAUUGUUAUAUUAGUUUGGUUUUGUGUUUUUUUAAUCAAGUUGGUGGGUCCAGAAAUUAUGAUGUCGUCAAGGUUCUUUCCUCGACUUGUCUCUAAUUCUUGAAUAUAUUAACAAAACUUUUAAAAUACGUAAAAAUUAAAUAUACUAUAAAUCAACAAACAAUUUAUUUGGAUUUAUUUUUUUAUAUAUAUAGACACACACACUGUAAAUCAAGACAUAAUUAACUAUGAACUUGCAUAGUUAUUUUACUAUAUAUUAAAACAUUUGGAAAAAACACUGGAGAUUUACUAUGAACACAAACACAUUGUUCUAUGAAAGACACUAUGUCAUAGAGUAUUUGCACUGUGGACGACACUGUAGCACCCUGGGAGCGUUCCUUUCCUUUGUUUUUAGUCAAGAAUUGCGGCUGGGGGUGUGACAUUCUUUGCCGAAAGCCGUUGGGUCUGCCUUUGGUAGCUGGACCUAACGCUGUUGGGUCUGGUUGACAAGUCAGACCCAAAACACUUCCAAAACAUGUCAAUAGCGUUGGGUCCUGCAUCCCAGCCAGACCCAACAGAGUAUUUGACUGUGGACACAGAGUGUUUGACUGUGGAUGACACUGUCUGUAGCGCCUGUCAGAGGCGUUAUCUUUUCUGUUUGUAAGUCAGAAAGGGUUGUUGGGUCGUUGCAGCAGGACCCAAUAGCUUUGGGUCCUGCUGGAACCAUUAGAGUUUGGUCUUGCCCUAGUAGGACCCAAGACUGUAAUUUUUUUUCCUUUUUCAUACGGGUAUGGCUGCGUAACCAGACCCAACAGCCAUACCCCAAUUAAAUUUCUUGGCCGUUACCUUCUCUAAUUUAAAUUUAUUUUUUAAAAUAAAUUGAUUGUACUGUGGACACCACUAUAGCACCUUCCCAGAUCGAUCCCAGCUUUAUCAUCUACACACGCACGCACAUGCACUUUUUUCCUUUGUCGACAAGGAAUUAAAGUUGAUCAAUGCAAGAAAGUAGUAAGAUCACUGACAUCGGCAUACGAAGAUUGUAAAAAAAAUUGAUUUCCUUUGGUGGAUGGAUUGGGAAUCCAUGUUAUCACAUAUGUGAGAAUUCAAUCCCGCAUGCCUCUGUACAUUGUAAAUAUAUAUCUUUUUCACUACAGUAUAACACCACCAUUGAAUAUUAAUGGAAGACCAUUGAUCAAUAAGGACGACUGGCUUCCAAACCCAGUAGCCAUACCUAAUUAAAUUUCUUUGUCGUUGCCUUCUCUGACUUAAAUUUAUUUCUUAAAAUAAAUUGAUGAUAUUUUUUUUUAUAUUGUAUCAAAGUUGUGUGAUGAUAAUUUUUUUUUCCAUUUCAAGUUGGGUUGAAUUUCCUAAUUAAAUCAUGUUUGAUUUUGCGUUUCAGAAAUUCUUUGAAAUUUUUUUGACAAUUUUUAAGUUUUUUUCUUUGCUUCAAAUUAAUAUUUUUGUUAUGUUUUUGUAUUUUUUUAAAAAAAUAUAUGUUGAGAUUUUGUCUGGCUGGGAUGUUAGACCAAGAAAUUUUUUAAUUUUUCAAUUUUUUUCUUUACUUCAAAAUAAUAUUUUCUUCAUGUUUUUGUAUUAUUUUUUAAAUAAUUUUUUUUAAAAAAUAUAUAUUGAUAUUGUGUCUGGUUGAGAGGUGAGAACCAAGAAAUUUAAAUUUUUUUAAUUUUUUCUUUAUUUUAAAUUAAUAUUCUUUUGAUAUUUUUGUAUUAUUUUUCAAAAAAUUAUACUGAAAUUGGGUCUGGCCGCGUAGCCAGAUCCAUGGCUGCGUUGGCCCCUGCCUUCCAGCAUGACCCAACAGCGUUGCCCACUACUCAUAAUAGGACUCAACGCUUAAUUGGACCCUGCUGCCUCCAUGCCCAACAACUUUUGCAACUAGGACCCAACAACGGUGGGCUCGGUCUCCGAGCAGGACCCAAUAUGCGUUGCCAGCCUGGGCGAUUGGGUCCUUUCCGCUGAAGGCACUUGACUGUGUAGCAAGCAUCGAAAACACAAGCUCAGUAGCAAUUCAUUUUUGCAACUAGACAGGCUAUAAACAAGCCUAUAAGCCCUUUUUUCUCUUAAAGAGAGAGAUUCAUACUUAUCAAUAUUACAAGGGAAAGAAAAGAUCCGAAACCGAAAAGGGAUUAUCUUGAUUUGAUUGCUUUCUAAAUAGGAUGUGCAUUUCUCCUAGAACCAGUUGGCUUACAGGCUUACAGGGAACCAAAAAUGCUUGGAAGUGACAAUUAGAUUUCUCUUAUUUAAAUUUAUUUUUCAAAAUAAAUUGAUGAGACUUUUAUUAUAUUGAUUAAAAGUUGGGUGAUGAUUUUUUUUUUCAUUUCAAGUUGGGUUGAAUUUUCUAAUUAAAUCAUGUUUGAUUUUGCGUUUCAAAAUUUUUUUGAAAUUUUUUGGAUAAUUUUUAUUUUUUUUUCUUUACUUCAAAUUAAUAUUUUUUUUUUAUGUUUUUGUAUUAUUUUUUAUAAAAAAAAUAUGUUGAGAUUGUCUCUGACUCGAAGCCAGACCCAAGAAAUUUUAAAAUUUCAAUUUUUUUCUUUACUUCAAAAUAAUAUUUUUUUUGAUGUUUUUGUAUUAUUUUUAAAAUAUAUUAUCUAAAAACAUAUAUUGAGAUUGUGUCUGGAUGAGAGGGAAGACCCAAGAAAUUUAAUUUUUUUUUUCUUUACUUCAAAUUAAUAUUCUUUUGAUACUUUGGUAUUAUGUUUUUAAAUAUCAUUUUAAAAACAAUUAUGUUAAGAUUAGGUCUGGUUGCGUCACCAGACCCAUGGCAGCAGUGGGCCCUGCCUACAAGCAGAACCCACCGCUACUAGGUCCUUCUGUCAAGCAUGACUCAAUGAUGUUGGGCCCUGCUGCCCAGCAGCGAUGGGCCACCCUCCAGGACCUAUUAGCUUUGGGUCUUGCGGCCAGCACGACCCAUCAAAAAGCAUUGGGUCUUGCUGGGGGCAGGACCCAAUAAGCCAAUACUGUAAUGUGUUUUUCUUUUCUCUUAUUUUUUUUCACAGGGUAAAGAGGAAAUAUUAUUAUUAUAUUAUUAUGUUAUUGUUAUUGUUAUUGUUAUUCUUAUCAUUAAUAAAUUCAAAGAAACAAAAUUAUUACGAUUGAAGAAAAACCAUAAAUUUUAUUUAAAGAGAUUAAAAAAUAUAAAAACUUGAGUCAGACAAGUUUAACAUUAUUAUUAGUAUUAUAAAUAUUAUUAUUUUUAUUAUAGGUAAUACUAUUAAUAUAAUAAUUAAUAAAUUUGAAAAAAAUAUCAUUAAUAUUGAAAAAUAACCAUGGAUUUGAUUUGAAUGUUAAAAUUAAAAAUUAUUAUUAUUAUUAUUAACUUGGGUUUGGCAUCCCCUUCUAAACUUGAGAAACUUGGGGCACGAAAGGGACACAUGAUCGAAGUUGCUUGGGAGAGGCAAGAGCGCGGAUUCAAGUCCCUUAGGUCUUGCAGCCGCGCCUGACCCACCAUAUUUGGGUUAGGUGUUUGGAGCAAAGCUUGGGUCUGGCUGCAAUGCCAGACCCAAGAGCGUUGAGUCUGGCUGAAAGGACGGACCCCAAGCUCAGGGGUCUUUCUUUUUAAAUAGACCCAAUGCUCUUGCGAGCUGGACCCAUUAAAGUUAAAACAUGCUGCCACCAGAGCCCAGCAGCAGUGGCCCUGCUGCCAGCCCCACCUGCCUAGCAAGACCCAAUGUUGUUGGGUCCUUCUGUUAAGCAUGACCCAAUGAUGUUGGGCCCAGAUGGGUACCCAGCUACUGGGUCAUUCUGCCGAGCAUGACCCAAUGAUGCUGUAACUUUAAUGCGUUCGGAUUGCAGCCAGAUCCAAUGCUCUUGGGUCUAACAUUAAUAAGGGGCGCAAAGCUCUUGGGUCUGAUGUUGCAGCCAGACCCACUUACUCUUUGAUAAGUUUAAUAUUGUUAUGAAUAUUAAAAAUAUUAUUAUUUGUAUUAGAAAUAUUCUUAUUUUUAUUAUAAUUAAUAUAGUAAUUAACAAAUUUGAAAAACAAAUUUAAUAUUGAAAAACAACUAUAGAUUUGAUUUAAAGGGUAAACUUAAAAAUUAUUAUUAUUAUUAUUAUUAUUAUUAUUAUUAUUAUCAUCAUUAAUAAAUUUUUUUAAAAAAUUAUUAUUGUGGAAGAAAAACCAUAAUUGUUUUGUGAAUAGAUUAAAAAAAAUAAAAACUUGGGUCAGACAAGUUAUAUAUUAUUAUUAAUAUUAUAAAUAUUUUUUUAAAAAAAACUAUAUUGAGAUUGUGUCUGGCUGAGUAGUGAGACCCAAGAAAUUUUAAAAUUUUUAUUUUUUUUCUUUACUUCAAAUUAAUAUUCUUUUUAUAUUUUUGUAUUAUUUCUAAAAAAAUUAUACUUAUUAUAUAUUAUAUUAUAUAUGUACAUAUUUUUAUUUUCUAUAUUAAAACGCGUUAUCUUUGUUGUUUGUAAGUAAAAAAUUACGGCGGAUUAAUGGAUCCUGCUACCACCAGGACCUAAUAGCGUGAGACCCUGUUGCGAGUAGGAUCCCAUUGGCGUGAGGUUCUAUUGCCUGCAAGAUCCCAUAGUGCUGGGUCCUUUAGGACCCAUUAGUGUUGGAUCCUGCAAGACCCAUCAGCUUUGGGUCCUGCGGCAAUCAAAACCCAUAAAAAAGUGUUGGUCUUGCCACCAGCAGAACCCAAUACUGUAAUGUGUUUUUCUUUUUUCUUAUUUUUUUCUUAAAGGGUAAAGAGGAAAUAUUAUUAUUAUAUUAUUGUUAUUGUUAUUGUUCUUUUUAUCAUUAAUAAAUUCAAAGAGAAAAAUGAUUACUAUUGAAGAAAAACCAUAAAUUUUAUUUGAAGAGAUUAAAAACAUAAAAACUUGGGUCAGGCAAGUUUAACAUUAUUAUUAAUAUUCUAAAUAUUAUUAUUUUUAUUAUAGUUAAUAUUAUUAGUAUAAUAAUUAAUAAAUUUGAAAACAAAUAUCAUUAAUAUUGAAAAACAACCAUAGAUUUGAUUUGAAGGGUAAAAUUAAAAAUUAUUAUUAUUAUCAUCAUUAAUAAAUUUGAAAAACAAUAUUAUUACUAUCAAAUAAAAAUAAUAAAUUUUAUUUAAAGGGAUUAAAAACUAUAAAAACUUGGGCCAAAUAAAUUUAAUAUUAUUAUUAAUAUUAUAAAUUUUAUUAAAUUCAUUAAUAUAUUAAAUUUGCAAUGAAUUUCAUUACUAUUUAAAAAAAACAUAGAUUUGAUUUGAAGGGUAAAAUCAAUUAUCAUCAUAAUCAUCAUCAUCAUCUACGCGGAGAAGACGGUUAUAAGUAGGAUUUGGGUGCGGCUCUGCAGCCAGACCCAGAGAUAUUGGUUAUGGCUGCACAACCACACCUUUAUUUAUUAGGUGUUGCUCCGCAGCUACACCCAAUAGAUAAACCUGAUUGGAUUGGGUCCUUCUGCCAACUUUUACACCCAAUAGCAGGACCUGAUUGGCUUCGAUCCUGUUGCCAGCAGCACCCAACACCUAUCAACGUUGGGUCCAGUACCAGUAAGACCCAAAAGCUUUGGGUCUGGCGAAACUAGACCCAUCGACGAUGGGUUCUGUUGACAGCUGAAUCUAUCAGCGUUGGGUCCUGUUAAUCAGCAAGGCCCAAAAGUUGUGGGUCUUUCUGUCAGACUCAAUGCUAUUGGAUCUGGCUUGCACUAGACCCAAGACACUUAAAACAAUUUCUACAUUUGACAAAAAAAUUCUUUUUGACACGCUGCGGAGCACAGACUAAUAUGUUAGAUAUCAAACAAUAGCGUGUGUACUGGAUUACUGUGGAAAUUAUUUUUUAUAUAAAAAUAUAAUAAAAUAAUAUUUUUUAUUUUUUAUAAAUUAUUUUUAAGAUUAAAAUUUAAAAUGAUUAAAAAAUAAAAAAUUGUUUUGAAAAAAACAAUUCAUAUUUUUAAAAACAUAGUUUAAAAAGCUACUAGAUGCCAUGUCCGCGCGAUACCGCGAGCUUGUGCAUUGUCGUGGGUUUGUGGAAAAAAUCAUAAAAAAUAAAAAAAAAUCAUAUGGAGAAAACUUGUUGCAAUCCACAAUGUUUUCAAGGAAAAAACUAUAAAGCUAAAUUCUCAACCAGCUUAAUAUUAAAAAAAUAAAAUCGACAAAGAUAAUUUUGAAAAAAAUCAUAACAAAAAAAAACGAAAUGAAAAAAAAUCAUGCAGGGAAACACUAUAGCAAAUAGUGUUUCCUGAGAAAAUCUACAGUUGUAAUUCUCAACCAUUUCAAUAUUAAAAUAAUAAAAUCGAUAAAGAUAAUUUUAAAAAAAAAUCAUAAAAAAAAAUCAUGUGGGGGAACACGGUAGCAAUCCACAGUGUUUUAAAGAAAAAAAACUAUGAAGUUAAAUUCUCAACCAGCUUAAUAUGAAAAAAAAAUCGACAAAGACAAUUCUGGAAAAAAAAUCAUAAAAAAGAACAAAAAAACGAUGUGCGGAAACACUGUAGCAAUCCACGAUAUUUUAAAGAAAAAAACUACAAAGCUAAAUUCUCAACUAGCGCAAUAUUAAAAAAAUAAAAUCGACAAAAACCAUUCUGAAAAGAAAAACACAAAAAAAAGAAAAAGAAAAGAAAGAAGAAGACAAUUUUGGAAAAAACAAAGCAAAAAAAAAUGAAAAAAAAUAGAAAAACAAACAUGCGGGGAAAGUUAAAGCUAAAUUCUCAACCAGCUCAAUAUUAAAAAAAAUUGACAAAGAUAAUUUAAAAAAAAAACAUGUGAGGAAGCACUGUAGCAAAAUAAAAACCUUGUGGGGAAACAUUGUAGCAAUCCAUAAUGUUUUUUUUAAAAAAAACUAUGAAGCAAAAUUUUCAACCAGCUCAAUUUAAAAAAAAAAUCAAAAAAUAUAAUUUUGAAAAAAAACACAAAAAAAACAAAAAAAAACAAAAAAAAAGACAAUCUUGGGGAAAAAAAGGAAAAAAAACAUGUAAAACCCAAAAAAAGGAAAAAAAUGAAAAUAAAUGUUGGGAAAAAUAAAAAAAACACAAAAAUAAAAUAAAAAGAAGACAAUCUUGGAAAAAAAAAACAUGUAAAACAAAUCAAAAAAAAUGAAAAAAAUAUGGGGACUUUCCCCACACAUUUUAGAGUAUUACUAGUUACAUGACCCGCGCGAUGAUGCGGGUUAAUUUUUUUUAUAUAUAAAUAAAAUUUAAAAAAAAACUAAGAUCUAAAAAUAUUAGGUUUUUCUGUAAAGCUAUAUCCAAGAGUUUUGGGUUUGACUGCAACGCCUGACGCAAAAAUAAUAUUUAUAAUUCUUUAUCCUUUGAAAAUGUUAUGUACAAGAUCAAAUGUAUCUUAUGUUUUGAGCAUAAUGAGUAAACGUAAAUCUAAUCCAUGUAAAAGUAAUAGAAAAAUAGUUAAUAAUAAUCUUAAGUACUGAAAAAUAACUAAAAUGUUUUUCUAAUCUAUGAAAGAAAAGAGCUAGUAAUUCAUGAUUAUUUAAAUGCUAGUUUUUAAUUAAAUAUUGAAAAUAAAAAUUUAAUUUGAUUAUAUUAUAUUCUACAUAAUAAUGAUGCUAUGAGUUGAAAGAAUUUUAAAUAAAAGAUCAAAAUAGAUUUUACAACUAAAAUUAAAUAUAUCUCUAUAUUUGAAGGAACAAAAAAUUUUUUUAGUAAUUCUAAUAUUAUUGAUCCAGUAGCUAUGUUUUUUUAUUUUAUUUCCUUUUCACUUUCUAGAACUGCAUUUGGACUUCCACCAUCAUUGCAUGGGUGGAGGGAGUACAUCAGCAGAAAUACGAGAUCCCAACAGGAAACAACUAAACAAAGAACAUAAAGAUCAAACUUGCAUUUCUCCGACAGAGAGAGAGAGAGAGAGGAUACACCCUUGCAUGGGUUUUGUUUUCUACAUAAAAUCCAUUCGUGUCAAGUUCACAACGUGCAACAAGAAAAUAUUCAUGUUGACAAGGGCUUCAAAACACAGAUUGAGAUUCUAAAGAACACUAGUCAUCCACAGUCAAAAGGGAUCACAAAUCAGUACCCUGUUCUCUUCCUUUUGCUAGAAAUCAGUAUUGAAUUUUGUCGAACGAAGACUGCAUACAAUUUUGAGGGGAAGAAAAAACAAAGCAGUGCUUCUUUGCGCCAUUGUCUCCUUAUCUGGUAGCUAUGGAGAAACUUCUUUAAAAUAGCAGUACUUUCUCCAUCUACAAGUUGAGAUGCCUAAAUUUUAAACCAAAAGCAACCUCUAUCCACUGGGGCUACUUCAAUGAUUUCCCUUUUGUGGUCAUUUGAUCUUGUACAUAACAUUUUCAAAGGAUAAAGAGUUUUGGGUUUGACUGCAACGCCUGACCCAAAAUUUUUUAAAAAAACUAAGAUCUAAAAAUAUUAGGUCUUGCAGGUUCUUUUAUUGCUUGAUUUCUCCAUCAAAUCGAACACAACUUGCACGAAACGGAUCCCCUACAGUUCCUCUACAACCCCAUGUGAACGUUGCAGGAUGAAUGACAACACGGCGUCACCGGGGACGGCGUGAAGAGGUCAAUGCAGGCAGCCUUUUCCUGCAGAUUUGACAACUCAGGGAGGCUACUUUGAACCAACGGUUGGGAUCCUUCCCAACAGAAUCAAGGCUGAAAUUUUUUCCCGGUAUAGACAAGAUUGCCCUCUUCCACCGCCUAUAAAUAGAGGCGGAGUUGAUGGCCUGAUGGAGGAGAAAAUCGAGUCCAAAGUUGACAAAAAAACCAGCCUCCUCCCUAGUUUUUUUUUUCUUUUUCUGCAACAAGUCUCUCUCUCUACACUCUCUCUCACCGUGCUCUCAGCGACUCCAAGCCACGCCGCCACCAGCUCGUCUUCCACCCUCUCCACCACACUUAUUCCUCUCCACCGAAAGCACCUCCUUUUUCCUCCACAACGGCAGCAGCCCAUCAACACCAUCAUUUUCAUUUUCUUUCUUCUCCAGUAUCGGCAACAGCAGCACCGACUCCUCCACAGACGCCGCCACCAGCUUCAGGGCGACUACUCGGACCACCUCCAACCUCACUCCAGGUCGGUGACAUCAACUGCUUCUCCCCCCCGCAAGGUUGCCUCCCGCUCCACUCCGCGGGCUGCAACUGCAAAGUUGCAUAUAGAACGUGAACUUACUGUUCACGUUCUGCACAUAAUUCAUUUCACUUGGGUCAAGCCAGUUCUGGCCCAGACCAAAUGUUUGGGCCGGGUCCGGCCCCCAAAAAGGAGAGAAAGAAAGUAUGUUGGGCCGAUAUCGGCCCAAUCUUUUUGGGGCCGAUAUCGGCCCACUGUUUCUGGGUUUAUGUCUGGCCCAGUCAUCUGGGCCGGCCCAGCCCACCUGUUUUAAUAAUAUUUAUUUAAUAUAUAAUAUUAUAUUAUAUAUUUCUUUUAAAAAAAACAAAAAAUUCCAAAAAAAUUUCAAAAAUCCUUUGAAAAAAAUUGUGAUUUUCUCAAAUAUUUUUUUUACCAAUUUUGCAUAAUAUCGGGUUGUAUAUUUACACUGUAAAAUACAAAUCCUGUAUUAAAAUACCUGGUUUUCUCUGAAAUAUUUCAAAAAAAAGAAAAUUAAAACAUUCUAAAAAAGAAAAAAUAUUUUAUUGCAUACGGCCAAAUCCUAAAAUUUUUCCAAGCAUAUUUUUCAUAUAAAAAAAUGAAAACAAAAAUUGCAUCUUUUUCAUGUUUAAAAAAUCCAAAAAUGGAUAUCGUAACCAAUUUAUGAUUAUCCACUAGGAUUUGGUCAACAUGUCAAAAACCUUUUUCUAAUUUUUUUAGGGUCCAGAUGUAGACUUUAAUAUUUAUGGGUGUAAAAUUACACGAUAAAAUACACCCUCAAGUAUUAAAGAUACAAGGUGUAAAAAUACGAUGCUAAAAUUCAGACUUUAAAACGGUUAGGAUUUAACCCAAUAAGGUAGAGACUUUCUCAUGAAACGAGAUCUGCCUUGAGCCUUAGAAAAGACCAACGAAUAGAAACCCAACUUGGAAAAAAACAAUCAAACAAUAAUGCAGCUUACCUUAGGUAGGGUGCACUAGGUGUGAUGCGUCUUCCCCUUGCACAACCAGUCCCUUACUCAGACUCUCGCAGACCAUAGGUUCCUAGUGACCAUAAUACUAGGUGGCGACUCCUGAAUCUUAAUCAUAAUUUUAUGAUUAAAUCCAAAAAAAUCUUCCUAACACACCUCACAUAGGAGGCACGACAGAAAGCCUUCUUUGUCGCCAGACGACAUCGCACCGGCGCUCGCGCACCCCGCGACAAAGAUAAUUUAAAAAAAAAACCAUAAUAAAAAAAAUUAUGUGGGGAAAGACUGUAACAAUCCACAGUUUAAAAAAAAAUAAAACUAAAUUUCUAAACAGCUUAAUAUAAAAAAAAAAAGAAAAAAAAAAAGAAGGUCUUCGGUGGCCAUUGAUAGCUAUGCGAUGAACUACUCAAAAUGCUAGAACAAUUGCAAAUCCCAGUUGCUAUGUAAUGGAACUUCCAGGCUAAGGCUCCUUUAAAUUACCUGCACGCCCGGCGUAGGAAAUUAUUAUUCUAAUUAUUCAACGACAACUUCAAGACAUGGCUGGCGUCGGGUGAUGACGAAGACAUUAUGACGUAGGUCUGCUGAAGUGGACCAAGUGGUAUUCGCAUUAUCACGUGCUUCUACAACUCUCCUCUUGCUUUUUUUUUUUAAUCUCCUUUUUUUUUGUUUUUGUUUGUGUUCUAGUUUUAUCCAUGGUUUGAUAAUUGUUUUGUGAGUUUGUUAUUAAAUGUAUUUUGUGCUUUUAUCUUUUUAAUAAAAUCUUUAUAUUUAUUGAUUAAAAAAAAUACUUAAUUUGUUUUUUUAAUUAGAAAAUUAUUCUCUUCUGGUUUUGCUGCAUUUGAAAAUGAAUUUUUCUAUCAAAAUUUUUUUUUCUAAUAUAAAUCAAUAAUCAUAUGUAAAUCAAAGUUGAAAUGAACGAACAAACAAACUAUGUACAUGGCAUCUUCCGUAGGAAGCUUAGGAAAGGAUGAAGGCCAAGAAUAAUGUAAAAUAAAAACCUAUGCCUCCACUACCAAUAAUGUAAAAAAAAUUAUUGAGAAAAAUAAAUCAUGAAAAUGUACUUCCAGCUCCAGUCAUCCAAAGCUUCUUAAGUCUUAGAAAAAAACAUUUAACACAAAUCUCGAUAUAAUUCAUAUGUUAAUUAAAUUCUCAAAGAUAUCGAGAGAAUUCUUGAUUAGAUUUUUAACGUAGUCUAUUUUCUAUCAAAUGUGACUUGAUAAUAAUCAUAUGCAUCAAAAUAAAUUCUCUUUAAAUAGUUAUUGGUUUUUUUCUUUUUUUUUAUGUUUUUUUUUUAUUUUUUCUAAAAUUAUCUUUAUUGAUUUUAUUUUUUUAAUAUUUAUUCGCAGUUAUAACACCAUCAAACAUAUUUAUUUUAUAAACUCGUGAUAAUGUGCUAGCAUGCUAUUUAGUAUCAAAUUAUAGUGUGUGUAUAGUAUUACUGUGGAGAUUAUUUUUUAAAAUAUUUUUAUAUGAAAAUAAUAUUUUUUAUUUUUAAAAAAUUAUUUUUAAUAUUAAAAUUUAAAAUGAUAGAAAAAAAUAUAAAAAAAUUAUUUUAAAAAAACAAUUUAUAUUUUUAAAAACACAGUUUAAAAAGCUAUUCCAAACAGCGCUGGAUCCACCACGCAGCUUGGGCUUACGUCCCUUUACGAAAGAUGAGAUUCACAAUAACAAGAGAAGAAGGGUUACUGCUACAAUUACAGGAAUAUUUGCUCUAAAGGUGAAGUUUCUCCAUCCAACCAGGUAGAAACAAAGAGAGUGGCACGAUGGCAUCAAUUUUAUUAGACGAGUGCUAUAAGUUUGGAGUUCACAAUUACUAUUUCUUCUAUUAGAAAACACAUUGCAAUGUAUGUAUAUUCUUUUUUAUGUUGAAAAUUUUUAACGAAGGGCGGGUUAACUAGUUAAUAGUCUCAUGUUCUUUAGAAAUUGAAGGGAUUAAACACUAAAGUAACUAACUUUCCUCGCCAAAAAAAAGGUAUGGUUUGAUUUUUUAACAUAUGAUUGAAAUUUAAGUUUUAAAUUUAAGUUUUAAUCGCCACUAGAUUGGUAGCCUGCAUGCCAUGUCACGCGCUAGCAGGAUUAAUUUUUUUUUCAUCGGAAGAAAAAAAUGCUUAGUCAUUUUAUAUUGGAUUAAUAUGAUUAAAACAAUAGGAAUGAUAAGCAUUUUCCUCUACGAAUGAGGAAAACCUCAUAACAAGUGAUGGAGAUUUGAGAACAACAAGCAACCAUGGAUUCCCAAGUUUCAAAUGGGUCACAGGAUUCACAUAAACUUAGCCAAUCCGGUUAUUUAUUCUUCGUAUCGAAAUACAGGACAUGAAAAUCCUUCAGCAACACACCUCUUAAUUACAUAUCAAUAACAGCAAAGACAUCCACAUCUUCACACACAUGCAACAAACACCUUACAUCGCACGCUUCUUAUAGCAGAAAGCCCAUAAAACCAGAUACAAGGAGCGCUUGCCCGCUUAAGCUCUGCGGCACACAUCUCCAUCGCAGUUCCAUCCUUCCUUUCCCUUUUCACUUCCAGUAUCUUCAUCUUCCUUCAACGCACAUUUCGGGUGAAGAUCAAAGUCACAUUGUUUGCAAUAGAAAGACCAACUAUGUCCUGUUUCACGACAGCCAUUGCAAACAUAUGCUUUGCGUUUAGUACGAAUCAGCUCAUGCUCAGUAUGAAGUUCGUGUUUCACUUUCUCUGGCCACCCCUUUUCCUUUUCCUCAAGCUCCUCCUCCAAUUGCUUUAGAUGUUCCUCGGUAAAUGGAAAAGCAUCUGCCCCGUAAGCUGUCAAGUGCUUCCGAGCUUCCUUGGUAAUGGUCCGGCCACUUGGGCCAAUCGCUACAGCUGCAGGAAUGCCUUGAAUUUUGAAUUUCCGACUCAGGAUUUGUUUCCUUCCAUCAACAAAUGGAAGGGCUAACCAAGGCAUUUCAGAAUAGAACUCGUCAAAGGUGGAUUGAUCGCUGUCGCUUGAGAUGAAGAUCACCUCGAAUGCGUUGUCUUUUCCUUUAAUUGUGUGGUAUGCUUCAAUUAGCUUGGGUAAAAAGGCACGACAUGGAGGGCACCAUUGAGCUGAGAAGUAAAGAAGAAUGUUCUUUCCAACUAGUUCAGACACUGGGACCUAAUCAAGAACAAACCACUUGAAUGAUAAAAAAAACCUUUGCUAAUGAAUUCAAUUAGUGAUGAUAUGAAAGUUAUUGAAAGUAAUGCAAUAACAACAUGCGAGGUUAGCAUAAAACAAGAAAAUUACCUUGGAGCCACUUUUGUCAAUCACAAAAUCAUUUUCCCCAAUAACCAAAACUGAUUCAAGCGUCUGCGAUUCCAGUUUUGCCUUUUCUAUUGCAGCUAGCUCGUCAAGCUUUUCCGGUGUAAAUCGAUUAGUUCAGCUACAUUUGAGUUCAAAGUCUUCCCAUCUUGGCCAAUUAUGACAAGAUUAGGAAUUGUGCUAAGUUCAAAAUACCGCACUAGCUUCUCGCAGCUCUUGUCAUUAAAUGGCAAUGCCAACCAAGGCAUUGUCUCAAAACUCUCUUUGAAGUCUUCUUCUUCGUCGUCUAGAGAUAUUAGGACUACUUCAAAGUUCUCUCCUUUUUCCUUGAGCGUCUUAUACAAUUCCACUAGUUUUGGAGUGAAUUCACAGCACAUCGUAUGGAUUGAAAAACACAAGCCAACCAAUUUUCCUUCAAGGUCCAACAAAGGGAUCUGCCAUUACAGAUAGCAAAAACGUGAAUUAUGGCAUCAUCAAUUCAAUUUCAAAACUAGCUAAUUGAAUGGACCAUCUACCUUUUUUCCAUCAUUUGAAAUCACAUAAUCACGUGAGCUGGAAACCAAGAUAGAGCUUAUGGUUUGAUUCUUCUUAGCAUUCUCUUCUUGCUUUUUCAGGAAAUUCAGUCUAUCAAGGUUGAACGGAUACCCAUCCACGCCAUGUUCCAUGACAGUGCUGACCCCAUCAUCGCAUGAAACCUUGCCAUUCGUAUCAAAAAUGACAAGAUGAGGGAUUCCUCUUACUUCGAACACUUCCUUAAGACGUAGGCGGGUCUCCGUAUCAGAGAAGGGAAUAGCAAGCCAUGGCAUUUCGGAGAAGUAUGUGUUGAAUGAUUCAUCGUCUCCGUCAGAAGAAAUGAAGACCACCUCAAAGUCCCCUUUGGAUGAUAGCUGUUCAUAGACUUCUACCAACAACGGAGUGAAAUUACGGCACGGCCCGCACCAUGAACCAGAGAAAUAGAAUCCCACAAUCUUCCCAACCAAAUUGCUGACCCUAACCUAAAAUUAGUGUCGAGCAUAAUCAGAAAAAAAAACAUUAGCCCUUGCAUUAAGAGGGUAAACAAAAAUUGAGGCUUUUCUUAAUCAUAAAAGCUCUAGAAAUUGGUCAUAAACUUGUUCUUCUGCAAGGCUCGCACUCUAAUUUAAACAUGAUAUCCAUCUUAAUUACGAGAAAAACAGAAAUCCAUAAGCUAAAAGCAGUACCUGGUCACCAUUGUUGCGGAUGAGAGAGUCCCUCUCUUCCGACGAAAGAAGCGAUGAAAGGUCGUGCGAAACGUCCUCGUUGGCCAUUGUUAAGUGAUGAACUACUCAAAAGGCUAGAACAAUCGCCGAUUCCAAAUGCUAUGUAUUAUAGGUUCCUUUUAAGUUACUUGCACAACAAGCAAUACUAAAAAAUGAAUUAAUUAGCAACGGAUUAUUUCGUUGCAGAUAAUACUAAAAUCCGUUGCUAAAAUAAUUUAGUAACAGAAUCAGCAACGGAUAAAAUCUAGUGUAGAUUUGUCAUUAUUGAUUUUUCAGCAACAGAUAAUCCGUUGCUGAUUCACGGAUAAUCCGUUGCUAAUUCUAGCAACGGAUUAUCAUUUGCUGAUUGUCAGCAACGGAUUUGCUGAUUCACGAAAUUAACAACGGAUUUUCCGUUGCUGAAUAUAUUAUUUUUAUUAAAUUAAUUUUUUAUUUAUGAAUUUUAAUUUGUUUAAUUAAUUAUUUAUAGAUAUUUUAAAAAUUAUAGAAUAUAUAUAACCAACAUAAAUUAAUAUUAAAAAUAAAUGCAUCACUAAUAAAAAAAUGAAAUAAAAAUAAUGUUCAUAUUAUAAAAAUUUAGUUAAACUUGCAUUAAUACAAACGAAAUUAAUGGUAUAAUAACAAAUUAAAUUAAUAAAGACAAAUGAUAUUAUAAAAAAUUACAUUAACAAUACGAGCACCUAUGUCUUAGAAAGAGGGCUAAGGGAGAUGGAAAGUAUUCCUUACAUUUCGUCUGCCAUUUAGUCUUCCAAGCCGUGAACUUACAUUAACAGUACGAGCACCUACAGCGGAAUAAGACAAGAAGAAGUAGACUUGAACUUAUAAUAAGGCAAGAAGAAGUAGAAUUGAAUAAGAUCAGAUCGAGGAACUCAUAUGCUAAAAGCAGUACCUGAUCACCAUUGUUGCGGAUGAGAAAGUCCCUCUCUUCUGAAGAAAGAAGCGUUGAAAGGUCGAGGGAAACGUCUUCGGUGGCCAUAGUUAGCUAUGUGAUGAACUACUCAAAAGGCUAGAACAAUUGCCAAUCCCAGUUGCUAUGUAAUGGAACUUCCAGGCUAAGGCUCCUUUAAAUUACCUACACGCCCGGCCUAGGAAAUUAUUGUUCUAAUAAUUCAACGACGACUUCAAGACUUGGCUGGCGUCGGGUGAUGACGAAGACAUUAUGACGUAGGUCUGCUGAAGUUGUUGGUAUUAGCAUUAUGACGAAGACAUUAUAAUAAUUUGUUUAUUAUUAUAAAAAAUUUGUUUAUUAUGUGUUGUGUGGAAUUCCUGCCUCUUCAUGUUUGGAGCUCGACAAAGUUCGAGUUAUUUUCAUUAGUGUUAGCCCAAAAACCUCUUCAUGUAAUGGAACUUCCAGGCUAAGGCUCCUUUAAAUUACCUGCACGCCCGGCCUAGGAUAUUAUUUUUCUAAUUUGUCAACGACGACUUCAAGACAUGGCUGGCAUCGGGUGAUGACGAAGACAUUAUGACGUAGGUCUGCUGAAGUGGUAUUCGCAUUAUCACGUGCUUCUACAACUCUCCUCUUGCUUUUUUUUUUUUAAUCUCCUUUUUUUGUUUUUUUUUGUAUUCUAGUUUUAUCCAUGGUUUGAUAAUUUUUUUUGAGUUUGUUAUUAAAUGUAUUUUGUGUUUUAUCUUUUUAAUAAAAUCUUUAUAUUUCUUGAUACAAAAAAAUCCUUAAUUGGUUUUUUUAAUUAAAAAAUUAUUCUCUUUUGUUUUUGAUGCAUUUGAAAAUGAAUUUUUCUAUCAAAUUUUUUUUCUAAUACAAAUCAAUAAUCAUAUGUAAAGCAUAGUUGAAAUGAACGAACAAACAAACAAACAAACUAUAUACAUGUCUCUAUUUCAAUAAAGAGACCUAUAUUUUAAAAAUAAUGAUAUUGCAUAUAUUUAAUAAUUAUAAAUAAAAUUAUAUUGUGUAUUUGAGCCACAUCAUGACUCUAUUUCAAUAAAGAGACCUAUAUUUCCACGGGAAAAAGAAAGAGUUUUUAAAUGCAAUACGUUGUCAUAAGUCGUGACUUUUCCACACUCAAAAGUGCACUAUACAUAUAUGUCAUUAUACUUUAUCGAACACUCCAAAUGUAAUUAAAUUAGUCAAUUAAUUGUAAGUGAGGGAAGUUAAUGAAUUUCCACUCUAAAAUGUUCAAAUUCAUUAUCCGCUUUCAAUUUUAUCCUGAUUAAAUCAGGUUAAGUAGAUGACUUUCUUCAUUCGUAGGUAUCCAAUAGAUAUCCUAAUCUAUUUUUUAAAUAAUUUUAUAAAAAUAAAACAAAACUAAAAAAAUAAAAUAUUCCCUCAUUUAUGAAUCAUAAAACUAUGAAAUUAAAUUAAAUAUAAAACCAAGAGAUGUUGUUAGUUUAGUGUUGUUGCACCGUGGACGAAAACUUAAAAAAUCACGGAUUGAAAUAGUGCUAUAGUUUUUUCUGAAAUUUUUUUCAUUAUAGGAACCAAACACUUUUUUAAUUUUUUUUAACUUUGACAUUUCAUUAAUCGAGAAUUUGGACUUAUUGGUUGGUUUUUUUUUGGUUUUCUAUAUAUUUUUUUAAAUUAAAUGUCUUUACAUUAGGGUGAUGUUGGAUUUUACAAAAUAGAAUUCUAUUUUAUUGCAUACAAAAAUUUAAGAUUUAGGGGGCCAAAAUUGACAGCGAGCAAGAAUUUAAGGUUUUUUUAUUUGAUAAAUGUUCAUUUCACAUCAUUUUACUUUGAAAGAUUUAUGUUUUGAUCCAAAACUCUAUUUUAAUCACAUUUCAGUCUAUGAGAUUUAGAAAAAAGAUAAAAAUUCAUUGAAAAUAACGAAUGAGAGAGAAACACAUAUACUGACAAGGUUUUGUUUGUGAAAAUAGCUAAAAUGUGUGUCAAUGUGUUAUUCUUGACAAGAAAAGUGCUACCAUAAUGUUUUUAAGUUUUAUAUUGUCAAAAAAAAGAUAGAUCAAGGUUGAGAGAAUUAUUUUUAGGUUAAACUUUGUGUUUUAAAAUUAUUUUAGAGUAUCUUUUUAGUUGAUAGAUUAAUUUAAAGAAAAUCUAAAAGUAUGUAUGAGAUGUUUUUAGAUAAAAACAUAUUAAAAAAUAAAAUUUUAAAUAAAAAACACCAACCCAAUUCUUCAACCACUUCUCUGUUACAAAAUAAAAAAUAAAGCAAAUGAUGUGGAAAAAAAAAAGCAAGCAAAUGAUUGUCAUUUGUUUUAUUUAAAAAAAAAACAAUAAAGGACAAAUACUAUCGGCAUGUUUGGGAACGCGGCUGCGGCUGCGUUCCUAAAAAAUUUGAAUUUUUUUUUUUUUUUACUAAAAUUUAAUAUGGUUUGUAUGGUUUGGAUCGUUUUGAUGUGCUGAUGUCAAAAAUAAUUUUUAAAAAAUGAAAAAACAUCAUUGGCAUGUAUUUUGGCACGAAAAAUUAUUUGAAAAGCACUAACAACCACACUGCCAAACAUGCUCUAUGUCAUCCAUCAAAGAAAAAAUAAAAUGGCUCUUUCAUCUUUUGGAUAAGCAUGCCGAGUCACUUGGCCCCACAAACAUAGUUUGUUUUUAGCCUCUAUUUUAUUAUUUUUUGAAUCUUUAUCCUUGAGUUUUAAUUUAUUUCAUUAAAAUUAAUUAUUUAAAAACACAUCAAGGAUAUUAUUUUAGUAAAUACUUAAAUUAUUAAGAAUAUAAAUGAAAUAUUAUUUUAUUAGAUAUCAUUUAAUUUUUAUUUUAUUUUAAAAUAAAAUUAUAAUAUUCUUUUUAUAAUAUUAGUAAGAGGUUGACUGGAUAAACCUAUAACCUAGAUGUUUUCCCAAGUUAGUUUUGAAUGAAUGGAGUGUUAUUAGUUAGUUCAGCGUGAUAAUUGGACUGAAAAUCUUUCGUUCUAAAUUAUCAACCAUUCAGAAUUGUUUUGUGCGUGAGGAUGCCAAAUUACCAAAACUAAACCUUAUUUAGAAUCCAUCACCUAUCAAUAGUGAUGUAAGAGUUCCAGCUUGUUUUCUGCAGCUGUGCCAAAACCUGGAGGGUCUAUACUAACCCAGCAGUGUUCUUCCCCCGUCGUAAGGUAAGAGCCCAGCAGUGUCCUUCCUCCGUCGUAGAGGGGUCCAUACACGAGAUGGUCAGAGAUAGUAAGUGAUUUCAGAAUAUGCCAUUUCAGACUGCAACAAUUGAUAAGGUUUUGUGGCUGUCAUGGCGAAGGCAAAUUUAAAGCACAUGAGAUUCAGUGGUGGGAAGCUAUGGAACGUGGCAAAAAGAAACAGCGAGAACAUGAAACACGCAUUUGAACAUGAAAAAGUAAAUAAGCUGAACAUAAUUAAUGGGCCAUAGAAGCGAAGGUUUUUUCAAUGGCUUCAAACUUUUUGGCAGCGUGCUUGAUUGUUGUCGCCGAGUUUCUUGGCAGUGUGCUUGCUUGAAUUGUGGAUGUAUCACAUGGAUGAUAUUUUCGUUCUUUCGAGGCAUCAAAUAAUAUGGUGUCACGAGAAUUAAGCAAAUAGAAAAGCAUUAAAUUUACGGAAAUCUUUUCCUGUGGUCUUGGUGUAGUUGUUGGCUUUGCUAACUUCUCCAAGCUCACCACUAAUCCUAUCUGUCCUUUGCGUCCCAUGAACUGAUACAAGCAAUAGCCUGCCCGUGAUUCUGGUUUAAUUGAUUGCAGACAUGUUCAUCAACAAACGCAGGUGUCCACCCUCCAAAUAACUGCCAUGAACCCAGUUUCCACCUGCUGGGAUUUCAUUUGUCUUUCUUAGUUCUGAGUUCGAAUUAAUGCUGCUUUCUUGAUUCUGAAAUCCGCCUCAACAAGUAAUUUGAGAAGGCAAAGAGGGGGGGAAAUGACUAUCCAGUUGCUUGGAUUGGAAAUUCUAGUUCUUUUACGGUGGAGUUACAAUGGUUUCAUUGUAUAAUGUUGGUUAAGUCACAAUCAGCCCAGUUUUUGUAUUUAAUCAGCAUUACAAUUACAGGAAUAUUUGCUCCUGAGGUGAAGCUGUUUCUUCAUCCAGCCACAUAGAAACAAAGAGAGCGGCACAAUGGCAUCAUGCAUAGCAUUUUCCUUUAGGAAUGACAAAAACCUCAUAUCAAGUGAUUGAGCUAUGAGAACAACCAUCAACCAUGGAUUCCCAAGUUUCAAAUGGGUCACAGGAUUCACAAAAACACACAGAGCUGUUUAUUUAUUUUUCGUAUCCAAAUACAGGACAUGAAAACCCUUUCAGCCUCACACUUCUUAGAUACAUAACGACAACAGGAGAGACAUCCCCACUAUAUUCACACACAUGCAACAAACAUCUUCCAUUGCAUACUUACUACAGCAGAAAGCCCAUAAAACCAGACACAAGCAGCGCUUGCCUGCUUAAGCUCUGCGGCACACAUCUCCAUCGCAGUUCCAUCCUUCCUUUCCCUUUUCAAUUCCAGUAUCUUCAUCUUCCUUCAAAGCACACUUAGGGUGAAGAUCAAAGUCACAUUGUUUGCAAUAGAAAGACCACCUAUUUCCAGUUUCCCCACAGCCAUCGCAAAUAUAUGUUUUGCGUUUAGUACGUAUCAGCUCAUGCUCAGUAUGAAGUUCGUGUUUCACUUUCUCUGGCCACCCCUUUGCCUUUUCCUCAAGCUCCUCCUCCAAUUGCUUUAGAUGUUCCUCGGUAAAUGGAAAAGCAUCUGCCCCGUAAGCUGUCAAGUGCAUCCGAGCUUCCUUGGUAAUGGUCCGGCCACUUGGGCCAAUCGCUACAGCUGCAGGAAUGCCUUGAAUUUUGAAUUUCCGACUCAGGAUUUGUUUCCUUCCAUCACCAAAUGGAAGGGCUAACCAAGGCAUUUCUGAAUAGAACUCGUCAAAGGUGGAUUGAUCUCUGUCGCUUGAGAUGAAGAUCACCUCAAAUGCAUUGUCUUUUCUUUUAAUUGUGUGGUAUGCUUCAAUUAGCUUGGGUAAAAAGGCACGACAUGGAGGGCACCAUUGAGCUGAGAAGUAAAGAAGAAUGUUCUUUCCAACUAGUUCAGACACUGGGACCUAAUCAAGAGCAAACCAUUUGAAUAAUAUAAAAAACCUUAGCUAAUGAAUUCAAUUCGUGAUAAUAAGAAAGUUAUUGAAAGUAAUGCAAUAACAACAUGCGAGGUUAGCAUAGAACAAAAAACAUUACCUUGGAGCCACUUUUGUCAAUCACAAAAUCAUUUUCCCCAUUAACCAAAACUGACUCAAGCGUCUGCGAUUCCAGUUUUGCCUUUUCAAUUGCAGCUAGCUCGUCAAGCUUUUCCG